GUGGUAUUUCUGGAUCCUUUCCAAGGCAGUAAUGGUAUAUGCCUUCUCUCAAAAUAUGUGGUGUUUUUGGUAUGAGGCAUAGUGAUAUUGCCUUCUCUCUCACCCUACUCUAAUAAGGUUUUGAUAUCUGGAGCUCAUAGGUGGGAGACAGAUAAUACAUACUUACAAGACAUUUAUUGCAUAGUCAAACCAUGGAUCCAGAAGAACAAGUCAAUAAGUCAAAUCAAGAUGUGCAUGUGUGGCGAGUGAAUGGUGUAUGGUGAUGAUGGUGAUAACAAUGGUGAAAGUCUAAUUCUACUUUUGCUCUUUUAAGGGGAUACAUACCUUUCUUGCAUUUUGAAGCUUUUUGAGGAGAAUGAGAUGCUCUAUAUUCUUCUUUUCCCUUAGGUGGGUAUCUUGUACCCCUAAUUCUACUGUCGGACACUUGUCCAUUUUUACCUCUCGUCUCACUUUUUCUUUUCUUUGAUGUUCCGGGCACUUGCCCCAUUUUAUUUCCUCGUAUCCUCUUUUUUUAGAGGACUCAUCUCCUGAAAUAAUAUAGCAAGUGGUAGUAACCAAGGUAACUCAAGCAUUUAUUUCAUAGGGAAAAAUAGAAAUGUUUUUGGCUAUUCUCUCCCGAAUUAGGAGUAGAAUACUUUUGGGUGGCUCUGGAGAUGGAAGUGAGUGGAUGUAUGUGGAUGCGUACUUCCGGAGUAGAAGCAGCAUGUAUGAGUAAACGUCCAAGUGAAUCUUGAUUUUAACCGCAUGACAAGCUUCUAAGGGUCUACACAGCUUGACCACACUCAAUGCUCAUAAGCAGUAAAAAGUAAAUGUGUGGCUCAAAGUCUAGCAAGCAUGUAUAUAUGGUUGUGGUAGGAAUUUAAACUCUCAUCAUACAUGAACUCAUCAUGUGUUAUUUUAAAGAUUUUCAAAGAUAAAAUUCUCUAGAAUUCUAGCAUCUCUAGGAAUAGAUAAACAACAGCUCAACCUUCUCAUAUCAUAUCCGUUAACAACUUAGACUUUAGAUCAAGUACUCUUCCCACAAGUUCAGGAUUAGAGCAGGUUUAAAUUAUAACAGUUAUGCCUAAACUUGAGAGAGAGCUCAAACUUGAAAACUAGGUACAUGGCAAAGCAACUAUUUAUCAUAUCCAUGUAAGAGUUUAUCAUUUAUGUUUAGUUUAGCCUAGAUACUUUAUUUAUUUAUUUAGCAAACUAUGCAAAGAUAUAUAUAAGCACAGAAAUUUUUAUUUGGGUUUUCAUGAUUAUGCAUCUUUUUAUUAUUUGAGGAAAGUAUAAACGCAAGUAGAAACACUUAGCUGGAUAAAUGGGGGUGCUCUCCCCCAAGCUGGAUUUUGACGUAAUUUCUUCUGAUGUAGCUAGCAGGUGGCGGAGGUGUAUUUGAAUGUCGGCAGUACCUUGACAGCGAUUAUUAUGUCCUCCACCGGCUAGUCUUCUUGAUCGUUGAAUUCUAUGGAGCUUGAAUAGACAACAAAGCUUUGUGGAACUGGUUAAGUGUUAGCAUAAAAUCUCUUACCCAUAAUCAUGUUGAGUUUCCUCUAAUAAAUAUUACUCUCUUUGGUAGAAUCAUAAAUUUAUUUUUAUAUUUUCAUUUUUAUAGGACAGGAAUAUAUUUAUUUUAUUUUUGUGCCACCACAGUGAAUGUACUUACGGGUUUUAUGCCAUGAGCAUACUCACAUGGGGCUUACUAUUUCUAACAUUUUUAUUUUCUUUUCAAGAUAGCAUGAACCUGAUUAACUAAGCAAACUAUAAUUGAAUAAUUGAAAGGAAAAGGAUAACUACCAAGUUUACCUCUUGGCAAGGCGUUCGGUGUUUUUAAGUCCUCCGAACGGGACUCUCCGUUUUCUCAGUCAUCCUGGGAUUCGCUGGAUGGCGUAGUCGGUGGUUUCGGCGGCGCCUCCUCUUCAUGUAUAACUAUCUUCUCUCUCCACACCUAACUCGGUGCUACGGUCUCCUCAGGACAGUUCUGUUCAAGUUGUAUGUCUUCAGACCUUACCACUUCUCCUUCGUAGUCUGCCCAUCCGUCCUUGAUGAUUUGCCUCCUCUGGUUUCGGUUGCGUCGCCUUCUUCUCAUCCUAAUCUGCUUAGAAUCUUCAACUAUAUAGUUAGAAUCAUUAAAGUAGUGGCGUACCUUCUCAGAGGGGAAGUGCAUGUGGACUUCUCCGGUUCCAAUAUAGAUGAUAACUUUGAUAGUGUUGAGAAACGGUCUUCCAAGGAUGAUGGGUGGAUCGUACUUGUCUUCUCCCAUGUCAAUAACCUAGGUCAUCCUUUUUGGUCAGGAAUGGUGACUUAAGUCGACAAUCUGGACCUCCUUGAGCUGCAGUGACCAUCUUAGAUGACUCGGUCCACAUUUGCUUGUUCCUGUUCCUCCUGUUGAUCCUCUUCCUUGGUUCAUAUCGGGAUUGCUCUGAAAUUUGUGUAGUUUUGUUCUUGAAGGAAAAUGUCUCCUUCUUCCCCUUGAUGUAGAAACUGAUCUUGGCAGUACUAGCGUAGAUGACAACUUCCGAGGUGUUCAGGAAUGGCCUCCCUAGGAUGAUGGGUGCCCUCUCAUCAGUACCAGUCUCUAUCACCAUGAAGUCUUGAUUUUGUUGAGGACGGUUGUAGUAGUAGUUGUUGUUGUUGAUGUAGUUUACGUCCUCAAGCAUCUCAGGGCAGUGAUUGCCUAAGUGUCCAGUAUCUCCAGUGUGUUUGUGCUCAUAAAUCCAGGUUCUUCACUUGGUGGAGUCUGGGAGUUGUAAAACUCCUUCGUAUUAUGCUCGAUGUGUACCUGCUCAUAGAGACAAGGCAGAGAUCAAGUGCAUGGGCUCUGUUGGUGAAAAAAACCAACAGAACCAAAAGUGUAUUUGUUGUUCUCUAACCUUAAGUAUGGUGAGCAAGACAAAGUUGAUUGAUAAUAAGAUCAUGAGUGUAGCAUUUAAAACAUUUGUCAGAUCAGAUUGCUCGACCUAAUGGAAAGGUAAUCUGUCUAUAUUUAUCUUUAUAUCUUCCAAAGACUGAAUGUGCAAUAUUUUAGCUUAUAUGAUUAGGAGUGUGGGAUCAUGAAGGUAGUACUAAGAACAAAGAUUAAAGGACUAAACAUGUUGAAUUAAUUUGGUUGGUUUAUGUUUGUCUCUUUAUUCAUGUGAAUGCUAGAACCAAGGAGAGCUUAUAAAAGCGAUAGUCAAGUACCUUAAGAUGUUACCUUACUUGAAGAGUGAUGGUACAGUAUCACCUUGUGGAAGCUUUCCUUUCUUAGUGGUUGUGCAUCGUGUUUGUGGCACCCUCCAUGAAUCAUCUCUUGUGAGCUAUGCCUUCCUUGUGUAAAUUGUUAACCUUCAUGUGUCUCUCUCUUUGUCUCCAAUGUGAGUUUACCUCAGGACUUCCUAGGUCGAUAUUGAAAGUUUCCCUGCAGGGGUUAGUCCAACAAAAUAUCCAAUAUCUACUAUAGCAUACUAUUGGCUCAAAAAUCAACCUAGACGCCAUGUCUAAUUUGAUUUAGAAGGGCAUUUUAACCUGAGCACCAUGCCUAAUUUAAAAUCCCUUGGAAGUAAGAUCAUCAUUCCUAAACUAAGCACCGUGCUUAAUUAAGAGAUAAAUGAAACUACUCCAAACCUAGACAUAAACUAAAGCAAAUAAAGGUAGUAUGAGAGCAUUUAUAGAGAUCUACUCAAGUAGAGAAGAAGUAGUGUGAUUAGUAUUUAAUAAAUCAAGCAUGUCUCAAAGGUAGGGACAACCAACAUAGCAACUUGGCAAAGGAUGUUUUUAUGUAAAGUACUCCCCCAAGCUUGAAUUUUGCAAAAUUCAAGAUUGGAUGAAUUUAAUUCAAUGUUGCAUGAUGAUUGGUUGGGCAUACCUUGUGCUUGUCAUUCAUCCGAUCUUCUUGCUCCAAUCCUGGAAAGGUUAGUGACAAGAAUACUCGAAGGAAUAUUUUUACAAUUAUCUUUAUAUGCUCCAUACACAAGGCAAUGUUGCAAAUAAUUAGAAGUUCAUGUUACGAUCUGAUAAGUGCUUGUUUUAGGACACUAAGCUUGUCCUUGGGAAACCAUCAAUUUGUGUCGGCGAAGUGGUUUCCCCUCCAACGCUGACCUAUAUCAAGAUCAACUCAACGAGAUCUGCAAUAUUUAUUAUAGACAUAUACAUCGACAACCACCCUUUUAAAGUUUUUAUAAAUAGAAAGGAAGAGGGGGUUGGAUAUCUCAAAUGUGGUGAUGUUGGAGAGACCAAAAGAUUGGGAAGAUGUUGCAUAUGAGCAUGGAGUAAACGAAGUGGCUAUGAAAUAAAUUCCAUGCUCAUUAAUGUUAUCUUUGUCUCUAAUCUGAAUGUUCAGAGUUUCUCUUGGAUUGGUCCCGUCUAUGUCCUUUUCUAUAGUUGGAUGAAUCUCAUAUUCAAGGGGAGUCAAGAACUCACCAUUUGAAAUUGAGGCAAAGUCAGAAUCCAUUAAGGCUUCUUCCUUGUCCAUCCAUUCAAUGGUGAUAGCACAUGGAUUUUUAAUGCCCUCUAGCCGUUGAUGUUGCUCUUCUCGAUCCUCCUUGUGGUCUUGGUGACUCUUAUGCAUGGGAUGUCUAGAGAGAUUCAUAGGAUCAUCGGGAGGUUCAAGAGAAAGAGCAUAGUAGAAAUUAUUAGGCUCAAGGAUGGGUUUAAAGAUAGGUUCAAAUGAGUUAUCAGAAGUGGGCGUAGAAGGGGAGAAGAUGAGAUUGUCUUCUAAAUGGCUUCGCUCUCCUUCUAUUGCAUCACUUAAGAUGCCAUCCUUGAGUAUUUCAAGAUGUCUAUCAAAGGGAUUGGAUUUGAGAUGCUUUCUAAGAGAUCCCUUCUGAGGAAGGUUCAGACUAUAUGCACUCAAAGGUCUCUUAUGAACCAGGAAGUUUAAGCUCAUCCCAAAAUGAAUUUCCAAAGGUAGAAUUUAUUCUUCCCUUAGAUGAUUUUGGAGCACUACUAGUUUGGGUUGGAUAGCUAAAUCAUGGGAUUGAAAUGUUUGGAAAUCGGCUAUUGAAACUUCCUUUCCUCGUCUGGGAGAUGAUUCCUUCUCUAUCUCUAGGAUUUUUUUAUGAAGGCUAGUGCAAGAAGGAUGUCUACGAAUGAAGACAUACCUUGCUUUACUAACAGAUAAAGAAAGAAAAACUCUACCAAAGGUUAUAUGAUUAAGACCAAUGUGAAAAUAUUGAGGAAAAACAUGGUCUUGUAGGUCUAGGUUUAAACCGGAAUUUAUAGAAAGAUUAAAAGAUUCCCUAGGUGUAGCUAAAAGUUCAUUAUCUUCUUGAUUAAAAGAUAGGACCUCGGCUAUAGAAAAGGGUUGGUUUUGACCUAUUGCAAUCAACUUCGGACACAAAUCAUAAUUAGGGGAAAAGAAAGGACUUGCUGACUCCCAUGGUCUAUGGCUGGUCUCCGAAGGUGCAAAAAAUUCAAUAAUAGGUGUGGAAUUUGAGUUAUCCAUAAAGAUGGAAAAAAUAAAAAGAUAAAAGAAUAAAAGUAUAAUACAAGAUAAUAGCAAGACUUAAAGUUAUCUCAGCAAACUGUCUUUCUCCCCGGCAACGGCGCCAAAAAUGCUUGUUGAUAUUUGGUAACGCCAUCAGGAAAUGAUCCGCAAGUGCACGGAUAUCGGUGAGCACUUCACCCGGGAGGUUAUCCAGAGUAUCGUAUUUAUAUUUUUACCACUAGGAGAAAGCGUGUGUUGACGGUCCUUAAUGCUCACAUUUAACCAUCAACUAUUCAUCGAAAAUGAUCCAAAUGCAACCAACACCCAGACUUAGGGUUUUAUCUGACAGAAUUCGACGAGUUUUGGUGUUUGUCUAUUUCUGCAGGGGGUUAUCAGGAAAUACGUAGGAAAGGCCCACACAUCGGGUUUACAUAGAGAUAUUAACAUGCCGCGCAAUUUUCUGUCAUCUAGAAGACUCCAGAAGCCACGGGAACGAACGGGAAGCCGAGAGGGCUCAGGGACAGGGUGCCCGCCCUACUCCUUAGGGCGCCCGCCCAGCUAUAGUGUCCAAUUCGGACCCGUUUCGCGGAUUAUGCUCCACCGACCUAAGGGAUCAAGGAAAACCAUGCAAUUAAUGUUGGUUUGAUCCGACGGCCCAGAUUCAUCUGAAAAGACUAUAUAAGCAAGGCCCCCUAGCCCCUGGAGAGCAUACCUCUUCUACAGAAUCAAAGUUAGGGUUUCAAUUCUUCAUCCAAAUAGAGAGGAUCCCUCUAGUUCAUCUAGUUCUAGCUCUAGUUCAUCUAGUUCUAGUUCAUCUAGUUCUAGUUCUAGUUCGUUCUAGUUGUAGUCUAGAAAAUAGGGAGAGAGAAGAGGAGAGCGCAGGAGGAGCCGGAUCUGUCGGAUCUUCCUCAAUAUUGUACUUUUGCAGCAACUGGUUCGUUCUUCAUCAUUCUCCAGGUUAUUCAAUUCAUAAUUCUUGAGUUCUUUAAUUACUUUUAUUUACAUUCAAGUUAUUUAUUGGAUUUCCGCUUGCAUCAAGUGCUAGAGUCUUUAUAACGCUAGAGUAGUAAUUAAUAGAUUAGACGUGGUGUUUAGUCUUGCAAUUACCUGGAAUUGCACCCAAUCAUGCGGAUUGUUGUGGUAGCCCUAGGGUAGUGACAGCCCUAACGGUCGACGUAUUCCACCUAGUUCGGAUCGGUGUUUGUAGGACCGUAGUCAGAGCUUCCUAGCCCCUUCUCAUCUCUUUCUGUGGUUAGUGUUCUGAUGUCCCGAAAUAAAUAAUCUUUGAAGUAUUUCUUGAUUCUUCGAUCAGCUAGAGAACUCUCAGGAAACUUCCUCUCUUCCCACCAAAAAUAAUUAUAUAGUUAUCCUUGGGCGAUCUUGAUUCUUAUUUAGUACACUCACGUUCCCUAUGGAAAAUCGAUACUCUGGAAUACUCCCGGGUGAAAGCUACAUUGGUAUCCGUGCGCUUGCGGAUUUUUCUGUUUGCGUUUAAAAUACCCAACAGCAUGCAUCUGACUAACCAAAUGUAUUGCUACUAUCCUUUAGGCUACAAAGAAUGUGAUUCAAUGUGAGCGAUGUAUAGAGAAGACUGCAACCGUAGUCUCGUUCUAACCAUGGUAAGGAUGAUCUACUGUUCUAUUGGGGAGGCUCACAGAAUCUAGACACCACAGAGGAUGUUCGACCCGUACCUAUAAACCCUACCCGUCCUGCUAACGAGAUGUGGGCUGCAAAGGUAACUCAGAAAUGUCACGUUCCUUGCUACUACCACGGUCCAGCUAGUCAGGGGAUAUCUAUGAGUACCCUAGCCCAAACACCACGUUUACGCUAGCAAUGAUUACUCCAAACUCAACCGGAAGAGAUUAAAGUAAACUCAUAAACCAAAGAACAAUAAAACAAGAACUUACUAGAAUUUAGAAGUCGAAUAACGGAAGAAUCCUAGGAGCAAGCCUCGGGUUAGGAGAACUUGAUCCCGCAGGUACAACCUCGGAGUAGACACCGACAGGCCGGGCUUCCUCCGAUCUUCACCUCCACUCUAUCUCUCUCAAUCUAGUAGAUCUAGUCUACUCUCACAUUGGAUGCUAGGCCCUAAGUCUAUUUAGAGGAAAGGUUAUCCUUCGAGGGCACCUCUCAACUCUAUGAUGAACUUUUUCUCCUCCAGGGGCCAGGGGGUCUGCUUACAUAGUCCCCUCAAGUGAAUCUGGGUCGUCAGAUCAAACUGACAUUGAUUGAACGGUUAUCCUUGAUCCUUUAGGUCGGUGGAGCGUAAUCCGCGAGACGGGUCCUGAUUAGACUCUGCACCAAGGCGGGCGCCCUAGGGGGGAGGGUGGGCGCCCUGCCCCCAGGCCCGAUCACCUUCCCGUUCGUUCCCGUGGCUUCUGCAGUCUUCUAGAUGAUAGAAAAUUGCACGGCACGUUAAUUUCUCUAUGUAAACCUGACGUGUGGGCCUUUCCUCCAUAUUUCCUAAUAACCCCCUGCAGAAAUAGACAAACACUAAAACUCGUGAAAUUCUGUCAGAUAAAACCCUAUGUCUGGGUGUUGGUUGCAUUUGGAUCCGUUUCUUUAUUUAUUUGAUGAUUAUAUUUGGUACUUAAGGACCAUCAACACCACUCUUAGCUAGUAUGAGAAUAGAGGGAAGAGAGUGAGGAGUUCCCCGAGGAGGAGUCCCGGCUUGUCGGGAGUCUCCUUCCACGAGCGCCUCAACGGAUGUUUGUCUUCUAGUAAGUCUUCCUUCUAGUUGCAUUUCAUCUGAGUACUUCGAGUAUUUACUUUAUGUUUCGUUUAUUUUAAGUAUACAACCGGCCUAUCUAGCACAUUGCUUUGCCUUGUGUGAAGUGCUCGAAACCUUAGUUGGGUCUAGAGUAGUAGAAUUAGUGUAGACGUGGUGUCUAGACUAAGUCUGCCCUUGUGGACUUCUUGUCGCACCUGAUGAACGCCAAAUGCGAAGUGUGACAGGCCUCUACUGGACAUUAGAGUUCUCUUCAGUGUGUUGUUAGGCAAGUUGCAAGUAAUAGUUGGCCUGCAUGGUAGCUGCUUAAGGAAGUGUUUCGCCACACCCUUUUCACCUAUCGACCAUAGUAGGAAGGGAGUUAACUCUCAAGUAUACUUAGGAUAGCUUAGCCAGAAGCCAAAUACUAGAAAUACCUCUCUACCCAAUCCUAAGCCCUUUGAUCAUCAUUCGAUGACUCAAUUGGUCUAGUUAUUCCACUUCUCAUUCCCUGUGGAAAAUACGAUGCUUGGAAUACUCCUGGUGAAGUGCUACAUUGACCACCGUCCGCUUGCGGUAAAACCGUUUGCCACUUCUAGUAUCACAUAAGCAUUUCUAAUGCUGUGCCAAGGACUGACAAUCCUAGAUAGUGAUGCUAAGAAGAGUCAACAAGUAUUUCUAGCGCCGUUGCCGGGGAGCGGUAGCUGGUUUACUAGACUCAAAGUCGUCAAGUUAUCCUUGUUUGAUUAGAACCUUUACCUAUCCCAUGGAUCAAACAACCCUCUUUGACUACGCUACUCCAUCGGGCGCUGAGCUGGAGCCACCUAGUUCUUCUCUGGCCAUUUUGGCCGUUCGUUAUGAGCUUCGCCCAAGGCUCAUAGCGAUGGUUCAGGAGAAUCCCUUUUUAGGAGAAGGAGAUGAAAAUCCCUAUACUCACCUACGUGAUUUCGAGUAGCUUUUCUCAUGCAUUCACAUCCAAGGGAUGAGGCGAGUUACCCUUAAGUGGAAGCUCCUCCCGUUCUCUUUGAUGGGAAAAGCCAGACGGUGGUACUCCCGCUAUGUAGGUAGUGUAGACGGAGAAUGGGAGAAGCUGCAAGCCAAGUUUUGCCUCACGUACUUCCCUAUUUCCCGUGUGGCUUGUCUCUGUAGAGAGAUCCUAAACUUCAAGCAAGAAGAGAAGGAAACUCGAGGUGCGGCUUGGGCGCAAAUCACAGACUUAGCAUCCUCAGGACCAGACUUAGCCAUAACCGAGCCAACGCUAAUGCAACAUUUCUACCUCAGUCUUAGGUAAAGUUCCGCACAAUUCCUUGAUCUAGCCUCGAAGGGAGCAUUCCUUCAUUUACCCAUUAGUGAAGGUAGGGUGGUCCUAGCAACCAUACUAGACAACACCCACUAGACUGAUGACCAUAGUGAUGCCCCUGAGGAAGGCCAAGCCCCUAGGGAUGAAACCUCGUCAGCUGACACUAUAGUAGCCACAUCACAAGCUGUCGAGCCUGAACCACAAUCCCAAACACCUCCAAGGGAAGAAGUGAUUCAUCCCUUGGAGUAUCCUCUUAACAUCAAGACGGAUCUUUUCAACAAUUAUGGCAACAUCUCAAAACAACCUAUGCAAAAGAGAAAUCACAACGCUCCAAAAGAGCAAGUAUCUUCUCACUUAGAGGCUUGUUACCUCAAAGCAACUGCUCAGGAGCUCAUGACUAUUAUGAGCAAUGAAUGGCUGAAGGAGUCAGAAGCAUCGUCUCAUGUUAUCAGGCUUCUCUCUCGCUUCACAACCAUUCGUUGUCUCAUAAGCAGGACUCUCGUGGAUUCUCUUUAUGACCCAGCUGUAGGAGCAUCCGUAAUGUCUAAGAAUUUAGCAUCAACACUCCUAGGCGAGGAACCAUUAGUUUCGACCAAAAAGUUUCUCAAGUUACCAUCUGGAGAAUUGGUCAAGAGCUGCGGCUUUGCAAAGAACAUGUCAGUUGUCAUUAACAAGGUCCAUGUCCUCUUGAAUUUCUACAUAUUUGAUGUAGAGGACAUCGACCUGUUAAUUGGGCACCCGCUUAUGAGAUUCAUUGACAAAUUUCAUAGCGGGCACCUCAAGGGUUAGAUAGGGAAGAACCUAAACCUGUCCAUCCCCUAUGUCGGCUCGACUAACGCCAAAAUUGAGCCGAAACCCGAAUCUGACCUGAUGGAGGAGGUGAUGGUAGCCACUCACCUAGAGGCAUCACAGCCUAAUCUAGAGGAGGAAGCUAAGGAUUACAUCGAAGAGCUAGAAACAGAACUAGAUGAACCACUAGAGCUAGAUGAAUCUGAGCCACCACCUAAGUCCUCCAUAGAACUUAAGCCACUUCCCUUGGGCUUAAGUAUGUCUUCCUUAAUGGCGAUAGGGAUGGCCCUAUCAUCAUUAGUGAUCAGCUCUGAGGAAGAGGCCACUAAACUUAUCAUCGUAUUAGAGAAACACCGCUUUGUCUUAGGAUACUCCCUCCAAGACCUUAAGGGAAUUAGUCUCGCUCUCUGCACUCAUCGCAUACCCAUAUAACCUGAUGCUACACCUUCUAGGGAGCCUCAAAGAAGGCUAAAUAAUGCGAUGAGGGAAGUAGUGAAGAAAGAGGUCUUGAAGCUCUUGCACGUGGGCAUAAUCUACCCUGUUCCAAACAGUGAGUGGGUCAGCCCCGUACAAGUAGUACCUAAGAAGGAAGGAAUGACGGUAGUUAAAAACAAUAAUAACGAGCUUAUCCCACAAUGAACCGUCACGGGAUGGAGGAUGUGUAUAGAUUACCGAAAACUCAACAAGGCUACAAAGAAAGAUCACUUCCUGUUACCCUUCAUUGAUGAGAUGCUAGAACGGUUUGCAAGGCAUUCUUUCUUAUGUUUCCUUGAUGAUUAUUCGAGUUAUCAUCAAAUCCCGAUCCAUCUCGAUGAUCAAAGUAAGACAACAUUCACAUGCCCCUAAGGGACAUAUGCAUAUAGGCGCAUGUCUUUUGGCCUAUGCAAUGCUCCCGCUUCCUUCCAAAGGUGCAUGAUGUCCAUCUUCUCAGAAAUGAUUGAAGAAAUCAUGGAAGUCUUCAUGGAUGACUUUUCUGUCCAUGGGAAGACUCUUGACGACUGUCUUGAGAACCUGGACCGUGUCUUACAAAGAUGCCAAGAGAAGCACUUGAUCCUGAACUGGGAGAAAUGUCAUUUCAUGGUUCGGGAGGGGAUAGUGCUAGGACAUAGAGUGUCCGAGCGUGGGAUAGAGGUGGAUAGAGCUAAAAUAGAGGUCAUAGAAUAGCUCCCACCUCCCACAAAUGUUAGAGGCGUACGCAGUUUUCUUGGUCACGCAGGUUUUUAUAGGAGGUUUAUACAUGAUUUUUCACAAAUCGCUAGACCUUUAACAAACCUGUUAGCUAAAGAUGCACCCUUUAACUUUGACGAUGAGUGCUUAGAUGCUUUUUACUACCUCAAGAAAGCACUUAUCUCUGCACCAAUCAUACAACCCCCUGAUUGGUCGCUUCCUUUUGAGAUAAUGUGUGAUGCUAGUGAUUAUGCUGUAGGUGCUGUCUUAGGACAGACCAAAGAUAAAAAGCAUCACACUAUCUCUUAUGCUAGCAAAACACUAACAGGCCCACAGCUAAACUAUGCAACAACAGAAAAGGAGCUUUUUGCUAUAGUGUUUGCUAUAGACAAGUUUAGAUCUUACUUAGUAGGGGCAAAGGUGAUCGUUUACACCAAUGACGCUACACUAAAAUACCUGCUCACUAAGAAAGAUGCUAAACCAAGGCUAAUAAGAUGGAUCCUGCUACUCCAAGAAUUUGACUUAGAAAUAAAAGAUAAAAAGGGAGUAGAGAACUCGGUCGCAGACCACUUGUCUAGAAUGCAGAUCGAGGAUAAACAUGAUCUACCAAUCAACGGCUAUCUUCUGGAUGACACACUCCUCAAGGUGUCAGCCGCCUACCCGUGGUACGCAAACAUCGUCAACCACAUGGUUUCUGGUUAUGUGCCACUAGGGGUAGAUAAGAAGAAGCUGAUCAAGGAGAGCCAAGUGCACCUUUGGGAUGACCCCUACCUCUAUAGGGUCUGCUAGGAUGGUGUGCUAAGAAGGUGUGUCCCUAUGGAAGAAGCCGUUCAAAUCAUUGAGAAGUACCACAGAGCUGAGUAUGGAGGUCAUUAUGGUACAUUCAGGACUCAUGCCAAAAUCUGGCAAAGUGGAUUCUAUUGGCCUACCAUGUACCAAGACACUCAAGACUUCAUCAAGAGGUGUAAGAGGUGUUAGCGACAUGGGAAUAUCAAUACCUGUGAUGCCAUGCCUCUCACAAACAACCUUCAAGUGGAGCAAUUUGAUGUCUGGGGAGUAGACUACAUGGGUCCAUUCUUUCCAUGUCAAGGCUAUGAGUACAUCUUGGUGGCAGUGGACUACGUGUCCAAAUGGGUCGAAACAUUGCCUUGCAGAGCAGCUGACUCAAAACAUGCCAAAAAGAUGUUCUAAGAGAUCAUCUUAUCAAGAUUUAGCACCCCAUGGUUGGUCAUUAGUGAUGGGGGCAGCCACUUCAUUGACAGGAGAUUCCAUGAAUUCCUAACAGAAGUGGGGAUAAGGCACAAUGUGGGUACACCUUAUCAUCCCCAAACAAGCAGACAAGCAAAAACCUCAAAUAAGCAAAUCAAGAACAUUCUGCAAAAGACUGUCAAGGAAAUGAGGACAAGAUGGGUGAACAAACUCCAUGAUGCACUUUGGGCAUAUAGGACCACAUACAAGAACCCAUCGGUAUGUCACCAUACCAGCUUGUAUACAGAUGGCGGUUCCAAGGUGAUCAUAGGGCGGUUCCAAGGUCGGUUUGAUCCAACGGUGGAGAGGAAGGAGCCCGUGGAUCGCUGACAUGGCGUGGGAGUAGCCCCUACUCCAUCUCCCCCAAUAAAUACCCCCUUAGAGAGCCUAGUUAAUCAUGAUUUAUUUUAGGAAGAGCUACUUGUUGAUAUUUGGUAACGCCAUCAGGAAAUGAUCCGCAAGCGCACGGAUAUCGGUGAGCACUUCACCCGGGAGGUUAUCCAGAGUAUCGUAUUUAUAUUUUUACCACUAGUAGAAAGCAUGCAUCUGACUAACCAAAUCUAUUGCUACUACCCUUUAGGCUACAAAGAAUGUGAUUCGAUGUGAGUGAUGUAUAGAGAACACUGCAACCGUAGUCUCGUUCUAACCUUGGUAAGGAUGAUCUACUGUUCUAUUGGGGAGGCUCACGGAAUCUAGACACCACACAGGAUGUUCGACCCGUACCUAUAAACCCUACCCGUCCUCUAUAGAAAAUUGCACGGCACGUUAAUAUCUCUAUGUAAACCUGACGUGUGGGCCUUUCCUCCAUAUUUCCUAAUAACCCCCUGCAGAAAUAGACAAACACUAAAACUCGUGAAAUUCUGUCAGAUAAAACCCUAUGUCUGGGUGUUGGUUGCAUUUGGAUCCGUUUCUUUAUUUAUUUGAUGAUUAUAUUUGGUACUUAAGGACCAUCAACACCACUCUUAGCUAGUAUGAGAAUAGAGGGAAGAGAGUGAGGAGUUCCCCGAGGAGGAGUCCCGGCUUGUCGGGAGUCUCCUUCCACGAGCGCCUCAACGGAUGUUUGUCUUCUAGUAAGUCUUCCUUCUAGUUGCAUUUCAUCUGAGUACUUCGAGUAUUUACUUUAUGUUUCGUUUAUUUUAAGUAUACAACCGGCCUAUCUAGCACAUUGCUUUGCCUUGUGUGAAGUGCUCGAAACCUUAGUUGGGUCUAGAGUAGUAGAAUUAGUGUAGACGUGGUGUCUAGACUAAGUCUGCCCUUGUGGACUUCUUGUCGCACCUGAAGAUGCCAGUUGCGAAGCGUGACUGGCCUCUACUAGACAUUAGAGUUCUCUUCAGUGUGUUGUUAGGCAAGUUGCAAGUAAUAGUUAGCCUGCAUGGUAGCUGCUUAGGGAAGUGUUUCGCCACACCCUUUUCACCUAUCGACCAUAGUACGAAGGGAGUUAACUCUCAAAUAUACUUAGGAUAGCUUAGCCAGAAGCCAAAUACUAGAAAUACCUCUCUACCCAAUGCUAAGCCCUUUGAUCAUCAUUCCAUGACUCAAUUGGUCUAGUUAUUCCACUUCUCAUUCCCCGUGGAAAAUACGAAGCCUGGAAUACUCCUGGUGAAGUGCUACAUUGACCACCGUCUGCUUGCGGCAAAACCGUUUGCCACUUUGUUGACGGUCCUUAAUGCUCACAUUUAACCGUCAACUAAUCAUGGAAAAGGAUCUGAAUGGAACCAACACCUAGACUUAGGGUUUUAUCUGACAGAAUUCCACGAGUUUUGGUGUUUGUCUAUUUCUGUAGGGGGUUAUCAGGAAAUAUGGAAGAAAGGCCCACACGUCGGGUUUACAUAGAGAUAUUAACGUGCCGCACAAUUUUCUAUCAUCUAGAAGACUCCAGAAAUGACGGUACCGAAGCGGAGGCCGAGAGGGCUCAGGGACAGGGCGCCCGCACUAGUCCUUAGGGCGCCCGCCCUCCUAUUCUGCCCAAUCAGGGUACAACUCGGGGAUCAUGCUCCACCGACCGAAAGGAUCAAGGAUAACCGUUCAAUCAAUAUCGGUUUGAUCCGAUGGCCCAGAUUCAUCUGAAAAGAUUAUAUAAGCAAGGCCCCCUGGCCCCUAGAAAUCAUACAUCUUCUACAGAAUCAAAGUUAAGGGUUUCAAUUCUUCAUCCAAGUAGAGAGGAUCCCUCUAGUUCAUCUAGUUCUACCUCUAGUUUAUCUAGUUCUAGUUCUAGUUCAUCUAGUUCUAGUUCUAGUUCCUCUAGUUCUAGUUCUAGUUAGUUCUAGUUGUAAUCUAGAAAAUAGGAAGAGAGAAGAGGAGAGCAGAGGAGGAGGAGCCGGAUCUGUCGGAUCUUCCUCAACAUUGUACUUUUGCAGCAACUGGUUCGUUCUUCAUCGUUCUCCAGGUUCUUCAGUUCAUAAUUCCUGAGUUCUUUAAUUACUCUUAUUUACAUUCAAGUUAUUUAUUGGAUUCCCGCUUGCAUCAAGUGCUCUAAUCAUUGCAACAUUAGAGUAGUAAUUAAUAGAUUAGACAUGGUGUUUAGUCUUGCAAUUACCUGGAAUUGCACCCAAUCCUGCGGAUUGUUGUGGUAGCCCUAGGGUAGUGACAGCCCUAACGGUCGACGUAUUCCACCUCGUUCGGAUUGGUGUUUGUAGGACCGUAUCAGAGCUUCCUAGCCCCCUUCUCAUCACUUUCUGUGGUUAGUGUUCUGAUGUCCCGAAAUAAAUAAUAUUUGAAGUAAUUCUUGAUUCUUAGAUCAACUAGAGAACUCUCAGGAAACUUCCUCUCUUCCCACCAAAAAUAAUUAUAUAGUUAUCCUUGGGCGAUCUUGAUUCUUAAUUAGUACACUCAUGUUCCCUGUGGAAAAUCGAUACUCUGGAAUACUCCCGAGUGAAAGCUACAUCGGUAUCCGGCGCUUGCGGAUUUUUCUGUUUGCGUUUAAAAUACCCAACAAGCUUUCUGGCGCCGUUGCCGGGGAACGGUAGCUGUGCUAGUUUUGAACCAAGUCGUCCGUGUAUCCUUUUUCUUUUCCUUUUUUACCACACUCACCUUAUCAUUUUCACCAUACCACAUGGAUUUCACUCUAAGCAUUAAUGAGCAUGGAAUUUAUUUCAUAGCCACUUCAUUUACUCCAUGCUCAUAUGCAACAUCUUCCCAAUCUAUUGGUUUUUCCAACAUCACCACAUUCGAGAUCUCCACCCCCCUCAUCCUUUCUAUUUAUAAAAAAUUUAAAAGCGCGGUUGUCGAUGCAUAUGUCUAUAUUAAAUAUUGCAGAUCUCGUUGAGUUGAUCUUGAUAUAGGUCAGCGUUGGAGGGGAAACCACUUCACUGACAUAAAUUGAUGGUUUCCCAAGGACAAGCUUAGUGUCCUAAAACAAGCACUGAUCAGAUUGUAACAUGAGCUUUUAAUUAUUUGUAACAUUACCUUGUGUGUUGAGCAUAUAAGGAUAAUUGUAAAAAUAUCCCUUCGGGUAUUCUUGUCACUAACCUUUCCAGGAUUGGAGCAAGAAGAUCGGAUGAAUGACAAGCACAAGGUAUGUCCAACCAAUCAUCAUACAACAUUGAAUUAAAUUCAUCCAAACUUGAAUUUUGCAAAAUUCAAGCUUGGGGAAGUCAUGCAACAUGAAAACAUCAUUUGCCAUGUUGCUAUGUUGGUUGUCCCUACCUUUGAGACAUGCUCAAUUUGUUAAAUACUAAUCACACUACUUCAUCUCUGCUUGAGUAGAUCUCUAUAAAUGCUCUCAUGCUACCUUUAUUUGCUUUAGUAUAUUUCUUGGUUUGGAGUAGUUUCAUGUAUCUCUUAAUUAAGCUUGGUGCUUAGUUUAGGAAUGAUGAUCUUACUUCCAAGGGGUUUUAAAUUAAGCAUGGUGCUUAGGUUAAAAAAGCCCUCCUGAAUCAAAUUAGACAUGGUGUCUAGGUUGAUUUUUGAACCGAUAGUAUGCUAUAGUAGAUAUUGGAUAUUUUGUUGGACUAACCCCUGUAGGAAAACUUUCAAUAUCGACCUGGAAAGUCCUGAGAUAGACUCACAUUGGAGACAAAGAGAGAGACACAUGAAGUUUAACAAUUUACACAAGGAAGGCACAGCUCACAAGAGAUGAUCCAUGGAGGGUGCCACAAAGACGAUGCACAACCGCUAAGAAAGAAAAGCUUCCACAAGGUGAUACUGUACCAUCACUCUUCAAGUAAGGUAACAUCUUAAGGUACUUGACUAUCACUUUUAUAAGCUUCUCCUUGGUUCUGGCGUUCACAUGAAUAAAAGAGACAAACAUGUAUGAUUUACAACUCUAGAUUAACCAACCCAAUCGAUUCAACAUGUUUAGUCCUUCAACCUUUGUGAUCCCACACUCCUAAUCUUAUGAGCUAAAAUGUUACACACUCAAUCUUUGGAAGAUAUAGAAAAACAUAAAUAUAGAUAGAUUAUCUUUCCAUUAGGUUGAGCGAUUUGAUCUGACAAAUGCUUUAAAUGUUAUACUCAUGAUCUUAUUAUCCAUCAACUUUGUCUUGCUCACUAUGCUUAUGGUUAGAGAAGAAUAAAUACAUUUUUGGUUCUGUUGGUGUUUUCCACCAACAGGGCCCAUGCACUUGAUCUCUGCCUUGUCUUUAUGAGCAGGUACACUUCGAGCAAAAUAUGAAGGAGUUUUACAACUCAGACGCCACCAAGUGGAGAACCUAGAUCAACAAGUACACACACUGGAGAUACUGGACACUCAGGCAAUCACUGCCCUGAGAUGCUUGAGGACGUAAACUACAUCAACAACAACAACUACUACUACUACUACAACCGUCCUCAACAAAACCAAGGUUGGAAUCAACGGAGGCCUAACUACUCAGAGAGGCAAUCUAGGACGCCCCGUCAUCCCGAUCUCCAUCGGCAUGGUGGACUUCCCAGAAGCACUGUGCGACUUUGGCUCCAGCGUCAACAUUAUACCCAGGGGAGGCCAUUCCUGAACACCUCAGGAGCGGUCAUCCACGCUAGUGCUGCCAAGAUCAGUUUCUACAUCAAAGGGAGGAAGGAGACGUUUUCCUUCAAGAACAAGACUACACAAAUCUCAAAGCAAUCCCGACAUGAACCAAGGAAGAGGAUCAACAGGGGGAACAGGAACAAGCAAAUGUGGACUGAGUCAGCUAAGAUGGUCACUGCAGCUCAAGGAGGUCAAGAUCGUCAACUCAAGUCGCCUUUCUUGAUCAAGAAGGACGACCCUAGUGUUCCAAGCAUCGAGUGCACAAUCAACGGAUAUUCUUUUCAGAAGACACUCUACGACACCGGAUCUGACAUCAACAUAAUGGCCGCAGUCACUUAUCAGCUCUUGCAUGGAACCAUGCCCCUACAACCAACAUACAUUCAGCUCCAGAUGAUUUUAAGGUUAUUGACAUGGGAGAAGACGAGUAUAAUCCACCCAUUACCAUUGGGAGACUGUUCCUCACUACCGUCAAAGCAAUCAUCUACAUUGGAACCGGAAAAGUCCAUAUGCACUUCCCCUCUGAGAAGGUACGCCGCUAUUUUACUGACCCUAACCAUAUAGUUGAAGACUCUAAGCAGGUCAGGACAAGAAGAAGACGACGCAACCGUAACCAGAGGAGGCAAAUUAUCAAGGACGGAUGGGCAAACUAUGAAGGAGAAGUGGUAAGGUCUGAAGAUGUACAACUUGAAUAGAACUGUCCUGAGAAGACCGUAGCACUGAGUCAGGUGUGUAGAGAGAAGAUUGUUGUACAAGAAGAGCAGGCGCCACCGGAACCACCGACUACGCCAUCCAGCGAAUCCCAAGACGACUAAGAAAACGGAGAGUCCUGUUCGGAGGACUUAAAAAACACCAAACGCCUUGCCAAGAGGUAAACUUGGUAGUUAUCCUUUUCCUUUCAUUUAUUUAAAAUAGUUUGCUUAGUUAAUCAGGUUCAUAUCAUCUUGAAAAAAAAAUAAAAAUGUUAAAAAUAGUAAGCCCAUGUGAGUAUGCUCAUGGCAUAAAACCCAUAUAUUCACUGUGGUGGCGUAAAAAUAAAUAUAUAUUCCUGUCAUAUAAAAAUGAAAAUAUAAAUAAGAUUGUGAUCCUACUUAAGAGAGUAACAUUUAUUGAGGAGGCUCAACAUGAUAAAGGCUAGAUAUUUAUGCUAACACUUAACUAGUUCCACAAAGCUUUGUUGUCUAUUUGAGCUCCACAGAAUUCAAGGAUCAAAGAAGACUAGCACACGGAGGACAUCCUAAUCGCUGUUAGGGUGCUGCCGACAUUCAAAUACACCUCUGCCACUUGCUAGCUACAUCAGAAGAAAUUACGUCAAAAUCCAGCUUGGGGGAGAGCACCCUCAUUUAUCCAGCUAAGUGUUCUACUCACGUUUAUACUUUACUCAAAUAAUAAAAAGAUGCAUGAUCAUAAAAACCCAAAUAAAGUUUUUGUGCUUAUAUAUAUAUAUAUCUUUGCUUAGUUUGCUAAAUAAAUAAAUAAAUAAAGUUUGCUAUGAACCUUCAUGAUAAGCUCUCACAUGGAAAUGAUGAAUAGUUGCUCUGCCAUGACUAAUUCUCAAAAUUGAAAUCUCUCUCAAGUUUAGCCAUGACUGUUAUAAUUUAACCCUGCUCUAAACCUGAACUUAUGGGAAGAGUACUUCAUCUAAAGUCUAAGUCGUUAACGGAUACGAUAUGGGAAGGUUGAGCUGCUUUUUAUCUAUUCCUAGAGAUGCCAGAAUUCUGAAGAAUUUUAUCUUUGAAAAUCUUUAAAAUGUUGCAUGAUGUGUUCCUGUAUGAUGAGAGUUUAAAUUCCUACCACAACCAUAUAUACAUGCUUGCUAAACUUUGAGCGACACAUUUACUUUUUACUGCUUAUGAGCAUUGAGUGUGGUCAAGCUGUGUAGAACCUUAGGAGCUUGUCAUGUGGUUAAAUCAAGAUUCACUUGCACGUUCACUAACACAUGCUGCUUCUACUCCAGAGGUAUGCAUCCACAUAUAUCCAUCCAUUUCCAUCUCCAGAACCACCCAAAAAUAUUCUACUCCUAAUCUGGGAGGGAAUAGCCAAAAACAUUCUCCUAUUCCUGUUUUCCCCUGUGAAAUAAAUGCUCAAGAUAUUUUGGUUACUACCACUUGCUACAUUAUUCUAGGAGGAUGAGUGCUCUGAAAAAAAGUGAAUACGAGGAAAUAAAAUGGGGCAAGUGCCCGGAACCUCGAAAGAAAAGAAAAGUGAGACGAGAGGUAAAAAUGGACAAGUGUCCGACAGUAGAAUUAGGGGUACAAGAUACCCACCUGAGAGGAAAGAAAAAGAAAAAAAAGAAGAGCAUCUCAUUCUCCUCACAAAAUUUCAAAGAGCAAGAAAGGUAUGUAUCCCCUCAAAAGAGCACAAGAAGAAUUAGAAUUUCACCAUUGUUUUCACCAUUAUCACCAUCAUCACCAUACACCAUUCAUUCGCCACACAUGCACAUCUUGGUUUGACUUAUUGACUUGUUCUUCUGGAUCCAUGGUUUGACUAUGCAAUAAAUGUCUUGUAAGUAUGUAUUAGCUGUCUCCCACCUAUGAGCUCCAGAUAUCAAAACCUUAUUAGAGUAGGGUGAGAGAGAAGGCAAUGCCACUAUGCCUCAUACCAAAAAUACCACAUACUUUGAGAUAAGGCAUACACCAUUACUGCCUUGGUAAGGAUCCAGAAAUACCAUAAAAGAGAGACUAGAGAGAGUCAUACAAGGAAUCUCUGAGUUUUAUUUGAAAAUCUGCAAAAACUCCAGAGCUAUAGUUAAUCGAAGAACAUGAGACAUGGCGCUUGACUAGACUGUUCUAUCUUUUAACUGCUCAAGACACAAGUGACAGUUACAAGCCCCAUGGUGUAAGGUAAAAUGAGUAAGUUUAGAUCUUAACAGUUUACCCUAACCCAGAGAUGAGAUCUUGUUUGAAUGCAUGUGUAUCCUUAAGGCAUAAAACCACUGCAGAAACUCUUGAGUCCAUCUUUGCUCAGGGACGAGCAAAGGUUAAGCCUGGGGGAGCUUGUUGAUGGUCCUUAAUGCUCACAUUUAACCGUCAACUAAUCAUGGAAAAGGAUCUAAAUGGAACCAACACCUAGACUUAGGAUUUUAUCUGACAGAAUUCCACGAGUUUUGGUGUUUGUCUAUUUCUGCAGGGGGUUAUCUGGAAAUACAGAAGAAAGGCCCACACGUCGGGUUUACAUAGAGAUAUUAACGUGCCGCGCAAUUUUCUAUCAUCUAGAAGACUCCAGAAGCCACGGUACCGAAGCGGAGGCCAGAGGGCUUAGGGACAGGGCGCCCGCCCUAGUCCUUAGGGCGCCCGCCCUCCUAUUCUGCCCAAUCAAGGUACAACUCGGGGAUCAUGCUCCACCGACCUAAAGGAUCAAGGAUAACCUUUCAAUCAAUGUCGGUUUGAUCCAACGGCCCAGAUUCAUCUGAAAAGACUAUAUAAGCAAGGCCCCCUGGCCCCUGGAGAUCAUACCUCUUCUACAGAAUCAAAGUUAGGGUUUCAAUAAUUCAUCCGAGUAGAGAGGAUCCCUCUAGUUCAUGUAGUUCUACCUCUAGUUUAUCUAGUUCUAGUUCUAGUUCAUCUAGUUCUAGUUCUAGUUCUAGUUCCUCUAGUUAUAGUUCUAGUUAGUUAUAGUUGUAAUAAACAAAAUAGGAAGAGAGAAGAGGAGAGCGGAGGAGGAGGAGCCGGAUCUGUCAGAUCUUCCUCCACAUUGUACUUUUGCAGCAAUUGGUUCGUUCUUCAUCAUUCUCUAGGUUCUUCAAUUCAUAAUUCCUGAGUUCUUUAAUUACUUUUAUUUACAUUCAAGUUAUCUAUUAGAUUCCCGCUUGCAUCAAGUGCUCUAAUCUUUGCAACAUUAGAGUACUAAUUAAUAGAUUAGACAUGGUGUUUAGUCUUGCAAUUACCUGGAAUUGCACCCAAUCCUGCGGAUUGUUGUGGUAGCCCUAGGGUAGUGACAGCCCUAACGGUCGACGUAUUCCACCUCGUUCGGAUCGGUGUUUGUAGGACCGUAGUCAGAGCUUCCUAGCCCCCUUCUCAUCUCUUUCUGUGGUUAGUGUUCUGAUGUCCCGAAAUAAAUAAUAUUUGAAGUAAUUCUUGAUUCUUAGAUCAACUAGAGAACUCUCAAGAAACUUCCUCUCUUCCCACCAAAAAUAAUUAUAUAGUUAUCCUUGGGCGAUCUUGAUUCUUAAUUAGUACACUCACGUUCCCUGUGGAAAAUCGAUACUCUGGAAUACUCUCGGGUGAAAGCUACAUCGGUAUCCGUGCACUUGCGGAUUUUUCUGUUUGCGUUUAAAAUACCCAACACACUUCUAGUAUCCCAUAAGAAUUUCUAAUGCUAUGCCAAGGACUGACAAUCCUAGGUAGUGAUGUUAAGAAGAGUCAACAACGAUGUCCACCAUCCUUUGAAAACUGAAACAAUUUCCAUCAACAAUCGGGCACGAACUUACUAGUCCAUCGAUCACCAUUACCAUGACCUAACUCAAAUGAUUUGUUGCUGCAAAACACACGUUAGUCAUAGUAAUCAAUAUUGUCAUAAUCACCAAAACUCAUUAGGGGCCUAGAUGCUUUCAAUCUCUCCCUUUUUGGUGAUUGAUGACAACAACCUCGAGUAUGUGAAAGAAUGUGAGGUUUUCAACAACUUGGUUCAUAUAAGCAUGUGACAAUAAGAACAAGAGAACUGGUCAUACUUAUAUCAACCAAGCCAACAUCCUGCAUCCAAAGAUGUAAGUCGAGUGCAACGGGAGAAAACAAGUGGCACAUAUGAAAUUGGAGUAAAACAUGGAAUUUAAGCAAUAUGAGCCAAAACACAUGACAUAGAGAUAUAAACAUUUAGCACACAGGUCAUGUCUAGCAUCCAUUAAGCAUAACUGAAGAUUAUAUAUCACAAAGUGCAUAAAAGUAAAUAUGAUGCAUGAAAGUAUCACACAAAGAAACAAAGAACCAACUCACAAGCUCCCCCUAAAUCUAACAUACUCUAGCUCCCUCUCCCCCUUUGGCAUCAAGCAGCGGAUGAGUCACGAGGAACAGCCUCAAACUGAGCCACAUCAACAUCUAAAUCCUUGUUAGUUGAUCAUUGGGAAGUUGUGCUAUGCUGAGCAUCUACCUGACCCUCACUAUCAUCACGUGCAGAUGAAGUGGUUCGGGUUGGCUCAAUAGGCUCUGUAGCUGUCUGCUGGGCUAUCUCAGUCUCAAUCUGUGUCUCAACUCUAGUGGAGGUGGCUAGCAAAAGACUCUAUAGCUAUCGUUGAAGCCUCUAGAAUAGUUGACGACUGGACAAGCUGCUCAAACAAAGCCACUAAAGAAGAUAGACGCUCCAUAGUAGUGACAGGAACUGUGAAAGCUGCUAGAGCCUGCUGAGGAGGAGGUGUUGGCAUACUGGUGAGUGCAACUAUAAGAGAACGACAACUCCUAUCCAACCGAAGUCUCACAAGCUAAGUGCAAUGUAGUGUGGGACUAAGGAGUAAAUCCUACAUGAUAUAGAGUAAACUGCAGUGUCUACCCAAAAAUCAUAGAGAUAGCACCCUGAGAAACCUGGUGUGGUGGAGUUGUGAAAGGCUGACUCUGAGUUGGUAGCUGUAGCGGCUGCUGUGACUGACUCUAAAGCCCACCGGGCUAUAAUGCUAGAGUCAAGAUGGUAGAUGGACCGACAGGAGGAACACCUGGAAGUGGAGUCAGUGAAACUAUAACCCCUAUCGCUGCCACUAGAGCUGCUCAUAGUGCUACCUGCUGAGCCUGAUAUGCAAGCUACUGCUCCUGGAAAGAAAGAAGCUGUCGCUGGAGCUUGUCCUGGUGAGCCUGAAGUGCAGCAGCUAUGGCGGUCUGCUCUCUAUCACGUCUGGCCUACUCCUGUCAAGUAUAGCAAGGAAUGAUAGGUCUAUGGAGGAAGAGCUGCGAGCCUCAUGGUCGUGCGUUUGAGGUGGGAGAUCAGGGAUGGGCUGGUGAUAAUCAUCAUCUGAACUAUCCGAGGUGAACUCAAACUCACCCUCAGCCUCUGCAUCUGCCACUACUCCAAUAGUUAUGUCCUGCUCCUCCUCUGUCUCGAGCAUUGCCCCUGAACUACGUGUAGCCCAAGAUGUAGGCGCUGGAGCUGGUGCUCAUGGUGCUGUUGGUGGUACUGGUGCUCUCAAGUCAAUGUGAGUCCUCAUCAUCUGACGGAGAUCAUAAUGAGGAAACACUGUCACUAAGUCUAUCAGCUCUCUCUGAAUCUGAGGUGGAAGUGGAUCAACACGUGUCCGAAGAAUCAAGAAUGUGAGCCAAUGGGCAUAGGGAAGCUGAUGAUGACCCUUGAACCCCUCAGCAAUAGUGUCCUCAAUCUUAGAGACCAUGAAAUCCCAAAUAUCGAACUCUCCCUAUGAAACCAAGUGAGUGACCAACCACGGCUAAAUGUGAGUGAACCCCUCGCGAAACCUAGCCUAGGCAGCAAAGUCUUCCUCAUCACUAUAUCAAGGAUACGAGCAUGGCGAGUGAGAGAAGUCAGUGCACGAUUUAAGCCCUCUAUAAAAGGUGGGCGAUAACAUGGAGCAACAAACUUGAUAGAAGGAAGCAAACCAUCGUGAGGAUGACGAGGAUGCUGAAUCCCUGAAUAGCAUAGCUCAUGGAUCCUCGUCUCUAACUCCCGAAGCCUAGUGUCUCUCUGGCACACUAAGCUGUGACUCUGUAAUCUAUCCCUGCUAGUGCAUAAUGAAUGAAGCUACGAUUAGGGGCCAUCCAGACUAUAGCAUAAAACUCUCUGACCCAAUCCUCCACAUAUGUGCCUAGAAGAGCCAGCAUCCAACAAGACUUGGAAGAUAAGUCAAAAAGGGUCUGAUAUCCUAUCCAGCAAUGUUGGCCAAGUACUCCAAGUCAACAACCCUCUGCUCUCAGAUCUGGACAUAACUAUUUACAUAAGCCAUGUACAUGUCCUCCUACACAACUAUGUAAAACCUAGGGUGUGCUCGCUCAUCACGUGUGGCAGGAAGCCAGGUAGGUGAAAGCCCAAGUUUGGUUUUGGUAAUUAAUGACACCGAGUUGCUAAUGCUUUGUGCUUAAGUGAAUUGAGAUAGGCAUAGUGUCGACGAAAGCUAGUCGGCAGUCUACCUUGGGGUAUACCCACGGUAGUAGUUUAUCGGUAGACGGUGCGCAAACUACGAACUCGAUGGUGACGCAAGACACGGACAAGCUUUUUAUCCAGGUUCGGCCGCCGAGUUGGCGUAAUACCUACGUCCUGCGUCUAGUUGUAUUGAUUUGUGCUGAGAGAAUAUGAUGUCCUAGGGGGGUCCCUUGCCCCUCCUUAUAUAGUCUGGAGGGCAGGGUUACAGAUCUAGAAACUAAUCCUAGUCGGUUACAAUUGCCAUAGAUAAUUCGAUAUCAAUUCCUAUUCUAACCGACUAGAAUCCUGCUUGAUCUCCACGUCUUGUUUCCUUGCGCGAAACUCCGAGCUGUCGGAUCAAGCCUUGAACUCGUCUCGUAGUGGGCCAAGCUUCCUGGCUGAAGUCUGGCCGUAAGGGUAUAGGGGUUUAUACCCCCACAGCUAGUCCCCGAGCACCAUGUAUUGUGAUGCAAUACGCCGUCUUGAGCUUCUUCGAUCAGCGAGGCUUGUCGUCUUCAAUAAGCGGGAAAAUCGCCCAAACAGUUGCAACGGUUCCUUGACCAACUCGAAAGACAGUUGAUCAACAUUGACAUCGAAGAAGCAGGUUGUUCGAAGAAUGCAUGGUGCUCUAAAAAAAAAUUUCUUUCCUGGUGAAGUGUGCCCACUUUGCCUUUUUGAAAGGUAGAAGCAUCAAAAAAGCAAGCAAAUUCACCGCUAGGUGAAGUGUGCCCACUUAGUCCCCGAGCCUGGUAGUAGGUGGCGUAGGCACGUGGUGCCAGGGUCAAAAGAAAAUUCCCCAAAGUAGUUUUGAGACUAAGAUGCAUCGCUAGAUGCAUCGUACCGAUGUAGUCCCCGAGCUUGCUGGAAGGCGAAGCAUGAGCCUUGUAGCAAGGUCUAAAAAAUUGAAUUUACCAGUCCCCGAGCAUGUCAUGCUCGUCUGCAAUUGAAGAGACCAAUCGACCAGUCCCCAAGCACUUAGUGUGCUUCUUGGAAUUAUAUGUUGCUAUACUGUACGACCAGUCCCCGAGCGUCGAGUGCUCAGUGGUCGGUGCACGCUUUAAAGCUUUGAGCUGAUAGACUGAGCGACCAGUCCCCGAGCGUCGAGUGCUCGGUGGUCGGUGCAGUCCUUGAAGUUCUGAGUUGAUAGACUGGGCAACCAGUCCCCGAGCGUCGAGUGCUCGGUGGUCGGUGCAGUCCUUGAAGUUCCGAGCUGAUAGACUGGGCGACCAGUCCCCAAGCGUCGAGUGCUCGGUGGUCGGUGCAGUCCUUGAAGUUCCGAGCUGAUAGACUGGGCGACCAGUCCCCGGAUUGUUGACUCACUGGCGUAUGUGUCUUCUUACUUUUGAAAAGAUCUUUCCAAUUAAAGUUGACGUGACGGGGUCUCCUGACGAUAUGUCAGACGGAUGCAUGAAAAGUUGCACCUGGCAACUGUACAACCGCUCUUUGCAUGGUUUGAGAGAAGGAAACCAUCAAUUGGUACGAAAACUCCGCCGCAUUAAUUGUCUAUAAUCAUUGUAAACCGAAACGCCGCGUCCGCCGCAUGGCCUGCCCACUUCCCGAGAAUACAGGAAGUGGGAGAGGUGGGGUCGCAGGUUUAUAAGGGCCUAAUAGGUCUGCCUGUACUGCUUCGCCUGCCAUUGCCUUCAAACCUUCCGCUCUCAUCUUCUCCAAUCUCCUGCAUCUUCCUAACUCCAGCCCACAUUCGCACCUCUAAUGGCGAAGAGCGACUCCAGGAAGAGGGCCGAACUGAUGGCCAAGGAGUGGAAGAAGUCUCGCAGCACCACAAAAUCUCUUGGUGACCUCGUCGAUAUGGGGCUUCUGCACGGCGCAGAGCUCGGCGGCUGGAGGGCACCGGAGGGGGAGAGCUACCCCGACCCUCGCGCCGGUGAGAUCGUCGUUUUUGAAGAUUUCGUUAAGAGAGGCUUUGGUGUUCCUGUUCAUCCUUUUCUUCAAGGUCUUCUUUUGUACUAUGAGAUCGGGAUUUGCAAUCUGCACCCGAACUCAAUUCUCCUUAUUUCCACCUUCAUCCACCUGUGCGAGGCCUAUGUUGGCAUAGAGCCGCACUUCGAUCUUUUCCGGUAUCUUUUCUGCUUGAGGAAGAAGGGAGCAGUUGGAGGCUCCAAGGUUGCAGGUGGAGUAUACCUCAACCUUCGUGAUGGGAUGAAGAAUCGCUACCUGCACUGCCCAUGGAACACUUCCUUGACCGAAUGGUACAGGAAGUGGUUCUACAUCAGGGAGGAACCGGGUAGCUCCACGUUCUGCGACGUGGGAUACGUUCCCGAGAAGAGGGCGAGCUGGACCGACCGCCCGGAGUUCGACGGUCCAGUGGCGGAUCUCAUGAAGCUGAUCGACUGGUCGCGCCUAGACGGGCUUGGCGUGGUCGGCAACUUCAUUUGCCGCCGGGUGAUGCCCUGCCAGAAGAGGGUGCACUCGGCGUAUGAGUAUGCCGGAAGCGCAGAUCCGACCAGGAUGCGGUCGGAGAUCUUGGAGAAAGCGGAGGUACAACAGCUGUUGAACGAGCUGUUUAACUUCGCGGACGGGGGCUUCGUCCGUGGUAGUGAUCGGGUGCAAGCCUUCAAAUUAGGACGACCAGCACCAAAGGUAUGUAGCAGAUUCUGUUUGAUCAUUCGUAUAUCGUCUGCAGUUGACUCAUCUCUGUUGCUUUUGCAGGUCGGUGAUGUCGACCGGUGCACAGUGUAUGUAUCACUGGCACCGGGGAUGGAAAAUCCUGCGGGAGAGGUCCCGCCAGAGGAGGACACUGCUCGGUGUACUCAUUACACCAGUAGUGAGGAAGACCAAGCCCGCCCCGUCCCGACCUCCGAGGAGAGGGUAGCGGGGAAAAGGCCAUUGCCGGCAGAUCCCUUGCCGACACCGGGGCUGCCAGCAGAUCUACCGGCGGAGAGCAGCCAAGCACCGAAGCGUCGUCGGCUCGUGCGGAUCGUCGACGAUGACGACGACGAGGAGGCUGCACCGUCGUUGGUCCGACGGCCUCGGAGCCGCCCAGACACUGCGCCGGUCGCCACUGAUCGAAUGGCCAGCGGCGCCGCUGCCCCGCAAGCUGUCGAGAUGGGGGCACAGGUGCCGUCCGGCCGGGCGAGGAGGAGGUUCACCGCGACCCACCGUCGGUCAGACCUGUAAGUGUUCGACUUACGUAUUUUGGACUCCUCUUGUUUUGUUUUUUUUUUACUUUUGUUCCUGUAGUGCGGCAUCGGAUGUCGACCCUGGCCAAACUGCCAGCCAGGGACCGGGCGAGCCUGCCCGCGGUUCUGGGGAUGCGGCCCCCCAGACCACAGAGCAGCCAACAGCUGCAGUCGCGCCUGGGAGCACCGAGGGGCUCCCGAGCGCGGCGCCGACUACAACAAGCAGCCCGACCAGGGCUGGAGAGGUUCCCCCAACUGACUCCUCAGAGAAGGGAAGAUCUCCGACCGCUCCUCCUGCCGGGGGGAGUGAAGUCCCCCCGCCGCCCCGAGCAGGAGCCUCUUCGGCUGCGGGCUCCCCAGGUCUGGUCCAAGGGCCAGUAAUACCUGGGGCCACCACCGGGGGUGAAGCAGCACAGGAGGAGGAAACCCGGGCGGCCUCCGAUGACGAGGUGGAGGAGAUCGAGGGUCGUCCCCGUGAUGGCCGCUAACACGUGUAUGUGUGGCGCCAACGCGGGGAUCACUUUAUCGGUCAUGAGGAGCUCGCCGAGACCGAAGAGGCCGCCAGGGUGGAGCGCGCGGCCAAGCGCCUUGUCGACGAAGUCAAGGUAAGCGGCUUUUUGUACUGCUGCACAUUCUUUUGCCUUGUCUUGCAUGGUCGUUAUAUGCUUGCUUUGUAGGACGUAAUGAAAACGGCGAAGUACCGGAAACGGUGCUUUGACCAGAUAGAAGGCGUCAUGGCCGAGAACAAGGCCCUUGCCGCGGAGGUAGACCGGUUGCGGGCGGAGGUCGGGGAGAAGGUGGUCGAGAUGAGUGCCGAAAAGGAGCGUCGUCUCGACCUCGCUCGUCGUCUGGCCGACCAGUACCGGCUUCAGGAAGGUUAGUCACACGCUCCGAGCAGUUUCGCGUACUUGUAUAGUGUGCUUUGCUGACCAGUUUAGGAUUCACGCAGACUUGGAGGAGGAGGUGGCGAGCCUCCAACAAGAGAAGGAGCAGCUCAGCCAACAGCUCGCCGGUGCGCAGGAGUCCGGGCGGCGAGCAGAAGAGGAAUUGGGUCGAAAAGACCGGGAGUUAGCUGGUAAUGGGUGCCGCCUUGUUGGUUGCUGCCUGCCCCUUUGCUUGUCUAGUAUGCCGAAAGUAACGUUUCCUUUCGUUUGCAGUGCUCAAGGUGAACACCAAAAAGCACCUGGAUGACCUGAUCAAGGACCGGGACUCCUGGAAGGUCAACUGUUGCAGGAUCUGGAAAGGAGUGUCCCCGGUCCUAGACCUGAUCAGUCCCGAGCUCCCGGAGAGCCAGCCCCGCGCGCCGCAGUUGACCCCGGUCGAGAAGGCGCAACGGGCGUGGGACUGGCUCCAGCAGUUUGUGAAGGACGCCGGGGAGUUUGCCGGCGCGCACGUCCUCAGCAUGGUGCGCGCCCACUACCCCCUGGUCGACUUGAGCAGGCUGGAGAAGGGGUACCCGAAGGAAGUCGGCCCACAGGAAGCGGACGAACUUCGGGGUAAUCUGCUGGACUUGUCGUCGACAGUGAUCGGCGACAUCAAUCUGUGCGGAACGGCCACUCCUCCAGACCAGCCGAGCUCAGAUAGGUCGGCCAGGGAGUUGUCGGGCGCGUCCGUUGCGGGAGAUGGGCGGUCGACGCCUGCGGUCUCGACCAGCCAGGCGCCAGUGGCCCCGACCCCUUCGUCCGGGCAGCAGGGCCAGGCGGGUGAUCAGCCCGAGCAGCUAGGCCAAUAAAGUAGUCUGUAGGAAUAGACUAGUGUUUGCCCGUCAGGGUAUUUAUUGUAAACUUUGUAUGUAAAGUUUGUAAUAAAGUUUGCUUUUUGUCAUGACUGUUGUUUUGAGCGCUGUAAGAAUAUCUGAGUGACGUGUCACCGCAUUUGUCUUGGUUGUCGCUAAGAGCAUCCGUUGCAGGAGUUUUGCCAAGUGCUGUGUGUGACAAGGUAUGGGCCAAAAAUAGAGAAUUUCAUUAUCAAAAAUUAUAAGAUACUUACAAAAGAAAGUUAUUAAAACUUUAUGGAUAGAAACGUCGCAGUUUGUCGAUGUGCCAAGAGUUAGGCACUCGUGUUCCGUCUGGGUAUGCCAAUCUGUAGGACGUAGGUCGCGUGACCUCGGUCACCACGAAGGGUCCUUCCCAGGGGGUGGAUAGCUUGUGCAUUCCCUCCUGGCUUGUCUUCCAUCGAAGCACCAGAUCGCCGACCACGAAGGAACGGUCCUUGACAUUCCUGUUGUAGUAUCGCCUGAUUGCUGCGAGAUAUUUUGCUGUUCGGAGACACGAAACUAGACGCUUUUCCUCCAUGCAAUUGAUUUCGAGUUCUCUGGCGUUGUCGGCGGUCGCCUGGUCGAAGUGCUCGAUUCUAGGAGAUCCAAAGUGUAUGUCAGACGGCAAGACCGCCUCUGCACCGUACACCAUGAAGUAGGGAGACACCCCUGUGUUUCGACUGGUCUGAGUUCGGAGGCCCCAGACCACCGCCGGCAAUUCUUUCAUCCAUCGACCGGGUGCUCUGUCGUUUUCGGUGUACAACCUUUUCUUUAGGGCGUCAACGAUCAUUCCAUUAGCACGUUCAACUUGACCGUUGGCACGUGGAUGUGCCACUGACACAUAUUUUAUGACUAUGCCUCUGUCAUCGCAGAAAUCCCAAAAAGUGGUGCCAGUAAACUGAGUGCCCAGGUCGGUGAUUAUGCUGUUCGGGAUGCCGAAUCUGUGUAUGAUUUGAUUGAGGAACUCCACAGCCUUCUCGGAGGUUGCCUUGACCAGGGGCAUGUAUUCAAUCCACUUGGGGAACUUGUCGAUUAACACGAAGACAAACUUGAAAUUGCCCGGAGCUGGUUUAAAUGGUCCGAUCAUGUCAAGCCCCCAGCAAGCAAAGGGCCAAGACGACGGGAUGGUUUGAAUUUCAUGGGCAGGUACGUGGGUCCUCUUAGCGAAAAACUGACAUCCUUCGCAAUGCCGAACCAGUUUUUCUGCGUCGCCGACCGCGGUUGGCCAAUAAAAACCUGCUCGGAAAGCCUUUCCGACCAGCGUUCUAGAUGCGGCGUGGUUGCCGCAGGAUCCGGCGUGUAUGUCCUCCAAGAGCUUGAUACCAUCAUCUUGGGGUAUGCACUUGAGCAGUACCUCGGAGCUUGCGUUUUUCCGCAUGAGUUUUCCGUCGACCAGGAUGUAGUUCUUUGAUCGUCGGAUGAGGCGCUCGUUCUCUGUUUUGUCCUGAAAGCCUGUCCCGUCUGAUAUGUAUUUGAUGAACGGGGUACGCCAGUCACGCCCACCGGUUGUCGGAGUGGCGUCAUCUAUGAGCAUUGCCUCGGUGGGUUGCUUGUCGACCAGGGGGGAGCUUACGCUCAGCUCAUGGAUGUCCUGGACAAAAAUACCCCGCGGGAUUUGGGCCCGAGAUGAGCCUAACUUUGACAACGCAUCUGCUGCUUGAUUCUUAUCCCGGACCACGUGGAUGUACUCUAUGCCAUAGAAGUUAGUUUCCCAUUUGCGAAUUUCUUUGCAGUAGAGAUCCAUCUUCUCGUGGGUUGCGUCCCACUCCUUGUUGAGCUGGUUGAUGACCAAAGCGGAGUCGCCGUAGACAUAGAGGCGCUUGACCCCCAGUUCAACGGCUAGUCGUACGCCAUGUAAGCAUGCUUCGUAUUCGGCGACAUUGUUUGACGCCGGAAAGAGGAUCCGAAGGACGUAGCGGAGUUUGUCCUUGUUGGGUGAUACGAACAAUAUCCCAGCGCCUGCACCGUUGAUGUUCAAGGACCCAUCAAAGAACAUUGACCAGUGGUCUGAGACAUCUGGAACGGAAGGCUCGUUGAGAUCCGUCCAUUCGGCGAUGAAAUCGACCAGGGCUUGAGACUUGACAGUGGUGCGACUCUGGAACUCUAGGGAAAAUGGACAUAAUUCCAUUGCCCAUUUCACGAUUCUGCCAUUGGCGUCUUUAUUGCGCAGGAUGUCCCCGAGAGGAAAGCUGGUUGUCACCAGGACUCGAUGGCCGUCGAAGUAGUGCUUCAGCUUUCUUGACGUUAUCAGGAUGGCGUAUAUAAGCUUCUGUAUUUGUGGGUACCUGGCCUUGGAUUCGUUUAAAACUUCGCUUAUGAAGUAAACGGGUCUCUGGACCUUGAAGACGUGACCUGGUUCAUCUCGCUCGACCACUAUUGCCGUGGAAACAACCCUGUCGGUUGCAGCAACGUAAAGGAGUAGGUCUUCAUUGGGCUGAGGCGCUGUGAGGACAGGCGGUGAAGUGAGGAAGGUCUUAAGCUGAGUGAACGCAGCGUCGGCUUCCUCUGUCCAAGAGAAUUUUUCUGACGCUUUCAGUAGUUUGAAGAAAGGGAGGCCUUUUUCUCCCAGCCUUGAGAUGAAACGACUGAGGGCGGCCAUGCAUCCGGUUAGCUUCUGAAUAUCCUUGACGUUCUUCGGUGGUCGCAUGUCGAGUACGGCUUUGACUUUUGAAGGGUUUGGUCGUAUGCCGUCGCGACUGACGACGUUGCCGAGCAGUAGACCGGAAGGAACGCCGAAAAUGCAUUUCUUGGGGUUGAGCUUCCACUUGUACCUAUUGAGUGCCUUGAAGGUUCGGUCUAAGUUGUCGAUUAGGGUGCUCGCGUCCCUUGUUUUUACGACCACGUCGUCCACAUAGGCCUCGACGAGGUCAUCGCGAAUCUCGUCGUGGAGGCAUUGCUGGAUGGCCCUUUGAUAAGUGGCCCCGACGUUUUUAAGUCCGAAAGACAUGGUAGUGUAACAGUAUGCGCCGAAGGGUGUGAUGAAGGAUGUUUUGAUCUGAUCUUCUUCCUUUAACGAGAUCUGGUGAUAACCAGAGUAGCAAUCUAGAAAGGAGAGGAGUUCGCAUCCGGCCGUUGAGUCGACCACCUCGUCGAUGCGAGGAAGACCAAAAGGAUCUUUAGGACAGUGUUUGUUGAGAUCGGUGUAAUCAACGCACAUUCUCCAUUCAUUAUUCUUUUUGCGUACAAGAACCGGAUUGGCGAGCCAAUCGGGAUGAUACACUUCUUUUAUGAAUCCGGCUGCUAGAAGCCGUGUUAUUUCUGUCCUAAUAGCCUCCUUUUUGUCACGAGCGAACCGUCGCAGUUUUUGCUUGAUUGGUCUUGCGGUCUUCGAGACGUUUAAGGAGUGCUCGAUCAGGUUUCGUGGGACACCGGGCAUGUCUGCGGGUUUCCAUGCGAAAACGCUCACGUUGUCCCUUAGAAACCUGACGAGCGUGUCUUCCUAUUUUGGAUCCAAGUUAGCCCCGAUGAGGGCUGUCUUCUCGGGGUUGCCUUCGACCAGCUGCACUUCUUUGUGCUCCUUGGAUUUCGAAUUCUUUCUGGCUGUCUCCUGCUCAGGUAAUCGGAGCUGGUCGGGAGGCAGCUGUGCGGCUUGGUUUGCUGUUUCCGCCAUGCGGAUUGAGAGGUCAAUUGCCUCGGUGAUCUUGAAGCUUUCUUCUUCGCAGGUGUACGCAGUGUAGACGUUGCCUCUGAUGGUUAGGACACCCUUCUCCGUGGGCAUCUUAAGGACUAGGUAUGAGUAGUGCGGGACUGCCAUGAACUUUGUCAGCGAUGGGCGGCCCAGUAUGGCGUGGUAGGUCCCGUCGAAAUCCGCGACUACGAAGUUGAUGAACUCCGUCCGGAAGUGAUCGGGUGUGCCGAAUUGGACAGGCAAUGUUAUCUGUCCGAGGGGCACCGAACUUUGACCUGGCAAAACCCCCCAGAAUUGGGCGUCGUAAGGUUUUAGUUGUGCCGGUGAUAUCUUGAGGGCGGGCAGGCUGUUGCGGAAAAGGAUGUCGAUGGAGCUUCCCCCGUCCACGAGCACGCGCUCGAAUCUGAUGCUAUUGAUGCAGGGAUCAAGAAUCAGUGGGAAACGACCCGGCUCUGGGAUAGCGGCCCACUGGUCCUUCCUGCUGAACGAGAUCUCCCUGUGGGACCAGGCGGGAAAUUUCGGAUCUGCGAUCAGCCCGUCCGUGCUGUCUAUGUUGAGGCAGGCUCUCUUUAACAGCUUUCUUUCUUGCUUGGACUCAGUGGAGACCUUGCCCCCGAAAAUGGAGUGGACCACGUCGGUGGGGCUAACGUAUUGGUGUCGGGGGUCCCUGUCUUGGUCCUCAUCCUCAUCUUCGUGGUCGUGGCCGUCGCGUUUGUUAUUUUUCUUGGCGGAGUCCUCUUGGGCGGCCCGCCGUGUAUAGAUACUUUUGAGGACGCGGCACUCUUCCAUGGUAUGGUUAGACUUUGGGUGUAGCUGGCACGGUCCCUUCAACGUUUUGUUGUAGUCGUCUUGGUAGUCCCGUCGUCCGUUGGGACGUUUGACCGUAUUUACUUCGUGGUCGUAUUCACGGGGGCGCUUUCCUCUGAUGUCAUCGCGGCUGUCGCGUCGCCGAUCCCAACCCUCUCGGUGAUCGCGGUUGUCGGAGCGGCGGUGAUUUCUGUUGUCGUAGCGACCACGACCGUCAUCUCGCCGAGAAGGCUGGUCGGGGCCUCUCGCGUCGUCUCGGAUUAGUUUUUCUGCGUCAUCAGCAUCGGCGUAAUUUUUAGCCGUGGCGAGGAGCUCUGCUACUGUUGAUGGGCGCUUACGCAACAGCUUGUUCCUCAGCACUUCAUGGAAACGCAAGCCCUUGAUAAAGGCUGAUAUGGCCUCGUCAUGAGAAAUCUUCGGGAUUUUGAGGCGCAUAUCCGAGAAUCGUCGGAUGUAAUCGCGCAGAGGUUCAUUCUUCCUGUCUCUUAUCCUUUCAAGGUCAUACUUGUUUCCGGGCUGCUCGCAUGUGGCGAUGAAGUUGUCGAUGAAAGCCUGUCGUAGCUCUUCCCAAGAGUCGAAGGAGUCCUCGGGCAAGCCGAGAAGCCACUGAUGACCAGCCUGGUCGAGGACUACGGGGAAGUAGUUAGCCAUGACGUGCUCAUCUCCUGCCGCUGAUCGGACGGCGAUUUCGUAGAGAGUGAUCCAGUUCUCUGGAUUUUCCUUGCCGUCGUAUUUUUUAAGUUUUUCGAGCUUGAAAUUGCGGGGCCACACGACCUGGCGGAGGUGUGAGGAGAACUGCCUUAGGCCCGGAGGGCCGUGGGUCGCAUCGUACUCGAUGCGACGCAGGUUUUCGUGGACUGCUCUCUCUGCGGCGCGCCUGUUGAUGCGGUCCCGGGCAUCUUUGGGAGGGAUGUUGUGGCGGAGAUCCCUGUGUUGAUCUUCUUCUUCUUGGCCGCGUACGCGGUUCUGCUGGCGGCGGCCAUCGGCGUCCCGACCACCAUCGUCGCGCCGUGAGUCCCCUCGACGGUUGUCGGGGGAGCGGCUGCGGCGACGCCUGCUGGGUGAGGCCCGGCUACGAUUAGUCUGGUCGGAGGCGGCUUCCGUAUAAGAGACGUCCUGGACUCUCUUGAGCAGAGUGGCUGUCUGUCCCAUUGCGGCGAUCAGGUGUGCUCGGAUACUGGUCCGGACUCCCUGGCAUUCGGGGGUGUCAGGAAGCCGAGCCAGGUUGGCCAUGGCGACAGCCACGUUGGCGCUUGGUGUUUUGUAGACCGGCUGGUCCCCGACCAUGUCAAAGGCAUCGUUGAGGUUACUUGGUGGCAUCUGUUGUUGUUCGUCCGCACGCCGUCGAGCGCGAUCGGCGUUACGCUGUUCGCGGAGUUGCCUCUGGUCAUCUGUUUCUCCGUCAACAGCCGGUUCGUCGGCGCUGACAUUGAACACAAUAUCCCCUCGCCGGGGGGGGGGAAUAUCGGGAAUCGGUCGAAACCCGGAGGGUGUGAAGGAAAAUCCAGGUCGUAGCCCUCGUCCUCGGUGUUUAUAACCUCGGUGGGGACGGAGCCGGUGCUUGAGUUGGUGCUGGAAACUUGGCCGUCCCGUAGCUCUCGGAUUGUCACCAUGUUGACAUGGUGACGAUUGUUCCUUGUCGGCGACCAGCCCGCCUUGCUGAAAACGGAUUGGGCAUGCCGUGAGUAAACAGAGGCCGAGUUGUUCAGGCCGCAAGGAUAGUCUUCCUUGUUGAGCUCGACGGAUCGUACUGAGGGGGUUGAGGCUAUCGUCAGGGACGUUCCCAGCCGUUCGUGUGUGGCGACACGAGUUGGCCGGCGGGAUUCCGAAAAAUCCGCUCGAGCAGCUUGGUCGGGCCGGCGCAGAACUCCAUCUAUUAGCUGGGAGACUUCGAGUAGCUUGGAGUCCGCGCGAUCGAGCGCUUGGAGGAGGUCCGAGCAGUCGAUCUCCUUUCCCUUGUAGAGUGGGAACGGUGGUCGGGAGCUUGGUGCCGUCAUGUGUGUGGUCGGAGACGGCGUGAUCUCAGAUUGGAUCUGGAUCUCUUUCGGAACCGUGGUCGCGAAGCCGCCGCUGCACGUCGUCCACGUGAUCUGGCCGACGGUGAACAUGAGGCCUUCGGGCACGGUCGCGGAAGCUGGGAUCGUGACCAUCUUGUUCGCCGGAAAAGUUGCACGCACACCCCCUACCUGGCGCGCCACUGUCGACGAAAGCUAGUCGGCAGUCUACCAUGGGGUAUACCCACGGUAGUAGUUUAUCGGUAGACGGUGCGCAAACUACGAACUCGAUGGUGACGCAAGACACGGACAAGCUUUUUAUCCAGGUUCGGCCGCCGAGUUGGCGUAAUACCUACGUCCUGCGUCUGGUUGUAUUGAUUUGUGCUGAGAGAAUAUGAUGUCCUAGGGGGGUCCCUUACCCCUCCUUAUAUAGUCUGGAGGGCAGGGUUACAGAUCUAGAAACUAAUCCUAGUCGGUUACAAUUGCCAUAGAUAAUUCGAUAUCAAUUCCUAUUCUAACCGACUAGAAUCCUGCUUGAUCUCCACGUCUUGUUUCCUUGCGCGAAACUCCGAGCUGUCGGAUCAAGCCUUGAACUCGUCUCGUAGUGGGCCAAGCUUCCUGGCUGAAGUCUGGCCGUAAGGGUAUAGGGGUUUAUACCCCCACACAUAGCAACACAUGUGAUGAAGGAGCAAGGUGGCAUGGAAUGGUGGCCACAUGAUUACAAAGAGAUGGAGCAUGAUGUGGAGAUCAUGAUGAUAGACAAGGAAGAAAGUGAACAAGGCAAAGGUAUAAACAUAGGGUUUUGCUUUUGCUGGUCCAAGUUGAGUAGAGAAGUGAUUGACCGGGUUUAUGAUAGAAGCCGACUAUCAAGAGGGGAAAUCACGGUCAUCUCUCGAAUCUAGUGCUACUAGGUCCAUAUCUUGAGCAUAUGCAUUAGGAUCUAGUAAAGUGCUAACUUGAAUCCUUGUUGAAAAUGUUUGUGAAAAGCUAACACACAGGCACAAGUGUUGUUACAAUCUUGUGUUGGCACAUGGAAGCAAGGGAACAAGUUGAAAAAGGAUAGAAUGAAGUUCAGCCGCAAUAUCUAACUUUGGAGUUUUUCUGUGAGGCACCAGACUUAGGAACAGUAACCACUUAGAGUCCGGUGUAGAGAGUCCGGUGACAACGCUUACAUAGAAGAGUUCCUAAGUUUGCGUCCGGUGCUACACCAGACAAGUCCGAUGUGACACUGGACGCGUCCGAGUUGACCGUCCGGUGUGUUCCCAAGUGAAAGUCUAAUGCUGAGUCUCCAUGGCGGCAACGGUAAGUUCUCUGACGGUCAAGAGCACCGGACGCUGUCCAGGUUCAUACCAAACGCGUCCGGUGUGAACUAGGACAGGUCCGGUGUGGUCGACUGCAGCACUUUGAUAGUGACCAAUGGCUAGUUCUUUGAGGGGGCUUAUAAAUAGAGUAUGGCCGGCUUAGGGGGAUUAGCUCUUGCACAUUUGAUUACUUGAGGCAUACAUUGAGCUAGAGAACACUCCCUCCACUCAUCUCCUUGCUUGAUUGCUAAUCCUAGUGAGAUUGAGUGACACUGCUGCAUGAUCGGGCAUUAGCACCGGUUGAGAAGGGCCUGUUGCCCCGUUUCCCGAGCCGGUGCUGCCCUUCCGGGACUAAAGGCCCACCCUUUAGUCCCGGUUUGGCGAACCGGGGCUAAAGCCCCCCCCUUUAACACCGGUUGGUAACACCAACCGGUGUUAAAGGGUCCUGCCAGGGCUGCCACGUUGUAGGACCCUUUAACACCGGUUGGUGUUACCAACCGGUGUUAAAGUGUUUUUUUUUGUUCACUUCUUCGGUUCUGUUUAUUGUUUUUAUAUAAUAAUAAUAGGUUUUUCAAUGCAUGUUUUUGCUGAUACAAUAAUAUAUUUAUAUUACAUGCAUAUUAAGCAUAUAUAAAUGAAAAUUAUAGGCUUAGCUUAAUAAUUAAGCUUUGCCUAUAAUAAAAUGAAUAGGCCACAUCAAAAAUUAAAUAGAUAUGUAAAAAGCUUUAUAUAUAUAGUUUUAUAUGUACAAAAUUCGUAACACAUAUAUACAUAGAGUUUUUUCUCCCAAUGUCUACAAACGAUACAAAUGAUCAUCAUUGUCUGGAAUAAGAGUUUCGUUGCCGUUGAAGUGAAACUCGCCGUUUGAAUUGAUCACUUGCUCGCGGAGAAAUCCUGCUAUCGUCUCUUAGAUAGCUUUGAUUCGGUCUUUUUGUAUGACCUUUCCCUCAACCAUUCCGUCUUUAAUUUGAAAUAAAUAAAAAAGGUAUUAGUUAUCUAAGUUAUUCAAUAUAAUUCAGGAGAUAAUGAAAAGAGAAAUGUAACGUACUCUGAGCGUCUCUGUGGGUGUUUGAUUGACUUGUGCCAUCAUGAAUUUGCACACGUAAUAUGCACAUAGAUUGUUCCCCCCUUCUUGUCUUAAAUACCACUGUACAAUAUAUAUAUAUAUAAAAUAUUCACGACCACGACAAUAAGAAGGCUAAAAGUUAGCGAAAGUUUGCUAGCUAGUAGAACUUACUUGUGGAUGUAUUAUGUUAAGCGGCGCUUUACAUCCACUGAGAUGUUCACGGUCAAUGAAUCUUUCCCAAACCCUACACACAGCCAUUUUGGAUCGUGAACUAAUAAUUACAGAGUCAUAUUAUGAUAUUGUUCUAGCUGAGAUUGACAUUACGUACCUUUAAAUAAUGUUUACCAUUUGUUGAUAAGUUUCUUGUGGUUUUCUCAUUGAGUCAAAGAUUAUCAACCGGUUCUUGGGAAUUUCAAUGACCAUGAGUAUCCAGUGAAAGCUUUUUACACACACAUAUAUAUAGUCAGUCCUAUAUAUAACUAUAUAAAACUUGUCUCGAGUAAUAAUAAGUAAAAUAAAAUAUGCAUGCACUUAAUAACUAUAUAACUCACUCGAAGUUGAAGGGGAAGAGUAUUUUUUGUUUUUCUUUUUGGUUCACAAAGAACCUCAUAAGAUUGGUGCAGACUUCUGUCUCAUGAGCUGCUGUCCACACAGCCUACGGAGCCUUGAAAACAAUAUAAGGGUCAACGAACCCAAUACUAUUGUCAUUUCUCAUUCUGAGCUCUCUCAUUUGGUGCCUGCAUAUAUACAUACAAAUCCUAAGUGUGUAAAGAUUAUAUACAUGUAAUUAAAGAAGUUAGAAGUAUAAUAAAAAGAAAAAAAAUACUUACAGACAAAAGCAGCUAACAAGAGAUUUGUCGAGAGCGUCGAGGUGACAUAAUUGGUGCAAUUCUUCGAACUGCACGUAUAUGAGGUCAUAUCCACGGAAGUAGUGAUGUUGUCUAAUACGAACAGAAAUCCAAUUCUCUCCCCUUUUAGAUGCCUCAAUGCACCAUUUGUUUAUUGCAAACAUUUGUGUGCCGAGCUCAUGUAAACGCUGAGGGUCGAAUAGACUCCUGCCCGGUUUAUAUCUUGCCCUCCAUUGAUCAACUACCUCAGCUUUUUCAAAUGUUUGGCAACCAAAAAUAGUGGCAAUUUCUUCCAUAUUUAAUCUGCUCUGUCCAAAGUAACGCUCAAGCGAGUCUAGCUCAGACAACGCUAAGGAUUUCUUUGGCAUCAAGUCUUCAUUUGAGCAGUAUUGAUUUGGCACAAUCAAAGGGGGCACUGGCUUUGAUACUUCUCCGAGCUGUGGGACCCCCUUUCCUACUCUCUUCCUAGCCUGUGAAGACUUGACCAGAGACCGCUCAUAGUCCGAAAGUGCUGGCUUUUUCUGAGCUUCGCGUUGCUUCUUUUGCUGGUCCGCCACCUUCUGCCUCAGUUCCGAUGGCUUUACAUAAAAGUAUGGCUUUCCUGGGUUUUGCCGCUUUUUACUAUCCUCCUUCCAUUUAUCAAAAAAUUGUUUCACCUCAGCUUUGGAUGCAGCAAUUAACUCCUCUUCACUCUUUUCAUAAGAUAAUUUUUCUGGUGUCUUUGCUCUCUUUGCUGAGGCAGCCUUCUUUGAAGGUGGGACCGAUGACUUCGGUCAUUCUUGGGCGGACCGCUUCUGACUACCUCUCUUUGGAGGUGAGGGAACCGACCGUGCACUCUUUGGAGAGGGCGGUGCAGGCGGUGGAGGUGGUGGGGCCGAUCUUUUCGGUGUUGGAGAACGCGGUGGAGGAGUUGGAGACCUCGGUGGAGGAGGUGGAGACCGUGGUGGAGGCGGUGGCGAGGUCGGUGUGGCCACCGCAGGUGUUGGAGGAGAUCCAGCAUUGUCACCGCCCGCAGCACUAUGAUGCGCUGGGGAGAGAACUGGACUUAGGUUGGAAGAGUCCUUGCAAAGAAAACAAUUACAAGUUUUGUGAGCAAACUUUUUUUAAUUUCAAUACAUAAUAAAUAAUAUAAGAAGUAAAAUCACACACAAACCUAUGUUGAGGAAUAAUUAUGAAGCGCUUGCGCCAACAAAUAAAUGUCUUCUCAGCUUCACCUAAGGUCUUCUCUCUGUCUCCCCCUUCUAUGUCUAGAGGCACGUUGCCACAACCUUUCUCAACCCUAUCAACCGAGACGCUAGCAUAUGCACCAGGUACUGGUCGAUUAUGGAUUCUUGGAGUUCUCAUUCGGUCGAUAGGGUUGACAACAGUGAUAGCCACCUUUUUUGUUGCAUUCCCAUCUGGUACAUGCAGCUCACAGGUAGUAAAAGCCUCUGUGACAUCAUCCACGGGGAAGUGUAGCUUCGUGUCAUCCUGAAUUGUUGGUACUUCCGUGGAUGCGCAGCUGCUUUUCAACUGGCCUGGGGGGCUAACGUUGACCUCAGGCUGUGAUGUACCUUGCCCUUUCGUCAUUUGACUAAGUGCUGCUUGCACUUGCCUUUGGAUCUCCGCCUGCAUCCAUUCUUCACGAGCUUUCUCGCGCUCUUCUAACUGCAGAACAAAAGCUUCCAGGCGGCGGAUCCGCUCUGCCUCCUCAUCCUUCUUUCUCUGGCGGCUUCUGUAGGUAUCUUGAUCGGCUUGGAAUGAUUGCAGCCACGGAACUGCCCCAUAGCCACUCGUACGCCCACCGUGCUCAGGAUUUUCAAGCGCAUAGGUGAGUUCAUCCUUCUCCCUGUUAGGCCUGAACUUACCAGACUGAACCGCCUCUCGUGCACGGACUAGUCUCUCUGCUGCUCUAGAUAUUUCUUGGCCCUAAACUAGCGCCCCAGUGUCUGGGUCCACGCUUCCCCCAUGACCGUAGAACCAAUGCUUGGAGCGCUCGCUCCAAUUCUUUGCUAUUGUCUCGGGUGUGACCCCCCUAGCAAGCAUCUCCUGUUCCAUUCGGUCCCACUUGGGAACAGCACUCUUAUAACCACCUGAUCCCAUAUGAUGGUGGUAUGUCUUUUUACAUGCAUUCUCUUUGUUUCUAUUGGCUUGUUCCUCGCCCUCUUCUGAUGUUUUGUACUGCACAAAGUCAUCCCAGAAGGCCCUCAGCUUUACAUAUUGCUUGAGGUUGAAAUUUGGAGUCUCGUUUUUCUUGACAUAUUUAUUGUACAAAGUCUUCUUCCAAUUCUGGAAGAGUACUGCCAUCUUCUUCAUAGUCCAGUCAUAAAUUCGCACCUUUAACUCCUCAUCGUUGGUGUCGAAGGUGAAAACGUCUGUGACGGCUUUCCAAACUAACUCCUUGUCAUGAUCAGAGAUAAAACUGAUCUCAGGAGCACCUCGCUUCUCUCUCCAUUCACGAGCACUGAUCGGUAUUUGAUCUCUCACAAGAUAUCCACAGUGACUAACAUAUUUAUUUGCAUGUUCACCAAGUGGUCUGCCUGUAGCUAUCUCAAACUCAGAGAUUACAUAACGGCCCUCCAACGGCUUCUUUGGCCCUCGUGGAGGUACGCUUCUCCCCGUAGAGGUCGAUCCAGAAGGCUACACGUAGAUAUAGAAACAAAAAUACUAAAUUAAAAACCAAGUAAGUCUAAAACCUAAUGUAAGAGAUGCAUUAAUUAUAUAUGUUUACAUUUGCAUACCUCGCCAGUAUUUUCUUCUUGUUGCACGACAAGUUAUUGCUCAGGCGCAUUGCCCUCUUGUUGCUCAGGGGCAUUGCCCUCUUGUUGCUCAGUCGCAUUGCCUUGCAUGAUCUCGUGGUAAUCAAUAAAGUACUGACUACCGUCGUCGAUAAUAUUUUGAAUGGCAUCUUCCAUAUAAUCAAGAUCAUCAUGAGCACGGUCAGCCAUUUCUAUGUCUGCAAUCAUACAUAUAUAUAUAUUCUAUAUAAGAUAAGAAAUACACUAGAAUAAUAUACUAAAAAAUAAUACUGGAAUAUAUAUUAGAGACUUAUAUACUACUACUAGUACUACUACAAAUGAAAGUGUUGGAGUGCUCUAAAAAUAAUACUAGAAUCUUUUAAGCCAAGUAAUACACUAGAAUAAUAUACUAAAAAACAAUACUAGAAUAAUAUAGUACAAACAAUAACAUAUACAAAACCCUACUAGAAUAAAUUUGGUGAGUAAACACUACUAGAAUAUAUAUUAGAGACUUAUAUACUACUACUAUUACUAAUACAAAUGAAAGUGUUGGAGUGCUCUAAAAAUAAUACUAGAAUCUUUUAAGCCAAGUAUUACACUAGAAUAAUAUACUAAAAAACAAUACUAGAAUAAUAUACUACAAAACAAUAAUAUAUACAAAACACUACUAGAAUAAAUUUGGUGGGUAAACACUACUAAAAUAUAUUAAGCCAAGUAAUAGACUAGAAUAAUAUACUAAAAAGUAAUACUAGAAUAAUAUAUAUACUAGAAUAAUAUAUACUAGAAUAAUAUACUACAAUUCAAAUAUACUAGAAUAAUAUAUACAAAACACUACAAUUCAUAAUAUACUAGAAUAAUAUACUAAAAAGUCUUUUAAGCCAAAUAAUAUAAUAGAAUAAUAUAUUAAAAAAUAAUACUAAAAAAUAAUACUAUAAUAGUACAAACAAUAAUAUAUACAAAACAUUAGAAAUUAAAAUAUAUGUUACAGACUAUAUGCAUACUAAAAUAAUAUACUAAGAAAAUAAUACUAGAAUAAUAUACUAAAAAGUAAUACUACAAUAAUAUAUUAACAUGCAUUAUUUUUUAGUGUAUAUAUAUACUUAAUAUACUAGCAUUCAUUAUUAUAUAUAGAAAACACUAGAAUCAUAUAUAUAUAUACAAAACACUAAAAUCAUAUUUUCCAAAGUGCUAGGCGCAUAAAAUUAUUCAUAGCAUUCAUUUAUUAUCUCUACACCUAAAACAUGUGAAAUAGACCCGUCUAUCGCUCCGUGGUGAAGCCGCUGAGGUCAUUUGCGCCGACAUGUGGGCCCCACUCUCUAUUCCAGACACCUCCCCACCCCUCAGUAUCCCCUACCCCCGCCGUCUUUACCUACUCCCAACGCCAACCGCCGCCUCCGCCCUCUACCGUCGAUGCUGCGGCCUCACCCUACCCCUCUCCGGCCGACGAUGGUGCUCUGCCCUCCGACCACCGCCAAUCUCUGCCGGCUCGCCCCUGCCCCGUCCUGCCGCUGCCACGCCCCGUUGUUCCGUGCGCCGUCGUUCCUCCACUUGUGAUCCCCCCCACUGCCCCCGCGGUGCGAUCCCCUCCGCUCCAAACCUAGCAACGACGGAUCUCGGGUUCGCCAAGCUUCUACCAGAGCAGGACCGCGGAGGACACGGCAACGGUCAUGAGCGCCCCCUGCGACCGCGUGUGCGAAGCUGGCGUCAGCAGGUUGGGCUACCUCGAUCUACAACCAGCCACGGACGAGAUCCAUAACCACAGGUGCCGCCGCCUCGUACAUCCCCGACCCUUGAUUUGCUCCCUGCCCAUAUGGACCUUUCUGAGCAAAAUACGAUGCAACUAUAGACACCAAUUGGAAUAGGUAAUUCCACAACACUGGACUUAUUAGCCUGACAUGCAUAAAAACAUAUGUCUAUUUGUUUGGCCAAUUUUUAGCAGGCUAAAGUAGCUUGACAUAGCUAAUGUUAUCUUGUUCAUUGCUAGAACGGUUCUAUUGGUUGAUUCGCAAUGUGAAAUAGAAAAUGGAAAUGAAUAAAUCUCUAGAAUUUAUUGGUUGUUGCAUUUCAGUCAUGAUUUCUAAUGGAAAAUUAAUUGAUUUAUUAUAGGAAAGUUGUUGCAUUAUCUCUUUGAGUUUGUGUGAUUCAAUUUUGGCCCUGUGUCCUACAUCUUAGUUAUUGAUUUAUUAUAGGAAAGUUGUUGUUCUUUAAUCUGGUUAUUGAUAAGCUGCUGUAGAAUCAUGUUGUUUGGCACAUCUUAUGCUAAAUCUGUGAAAAACUUAUGCUAAAACUUAUAACCCAUCAUGUUGUUCAUAUGAAAAUUUAACUUUGAACUCAACCUUCAUUUACAUAUUAAGGACAAGCAACAAUGUUUGCCAUGAAGAUGUGCCGGCCAAAUAAAGAUUCGAAACCAGUUAUGAACGAUCAAUGUAUUCAAAGGAACCGGAACUUCUGCUACUCAUUCAUGUAGGUAAUUGGUAAUCCAGAGCCUCAAGCUCCAAAUAGGAGAGAGUAUGUAUGAUGCUCCAUUUUAAACAAGAGCUAUAGCUGUUUUUUUUUCUGCUAGCUGUUUACUUGCAUGUCAUAAUCACAGGGAGAAAUUAUUAUUGUGGCUUAAUACACUAACUAAAAAUAGGAAUCAAUAUGCGACUGUGUUCUUGAGCAUUGUGUCAAGAGCCAUAAAACUAGAGGUGCUAUCCACCGGCGUUGCUGGAAACUACAAUGGUGCAUUGCAAGUAGAGUGUGUUCUGAAGAAAAUAGAACAACCAAUAGGUAGUUUAAUGUCAUAUGAUGAUUGCUUUUAGCUACAAAUGCCCAAUAUUGUGUGCAUUUUGUAGAUGUCAGUUGAGUUUCAGGUGCAUUCCCCAUUGGUGCCGACCGGGGAAAGAAUAUUGAGAAAUACUGUAAGCAGAACGCUGAUGGAACAUGGGCCAUCGUCGACGUCUCACUGGACAGCCUGCGCCCCAGGUCAGUCCUCAAGUGCCGGCGCUGGCCGUCAGGAUGUCUGAUCGAGGUAAUGCCUAAUGACUACUCAAAGGUCUGUAGUAUGUACGUGAUGAAUUUUUCAGUUUUCUCACAUUCUCAGUAGUUGAUGGUUCAGAGACUAAUCAUUAGAUGUUUAUACUUAUUAUCUAAAAAAUUUAUGGUGCUGGUGCUCUGCUUCCUUUUGGGUAUCCCAAUGGCGGGGUAAUUUGUAAUAGGGAAGUUCAUGCACAUGCCCUGAUGAGCAGAUGAGCAGAUGAACCUGACCAAAUUACAUGCACAUGCCCUGAGAACCAUUGGUUUGGUAUGUGAUCGCGGUUAAUUUGGUCAAGUUCAUCUGCUCAUCGGCUUGUUCAGCUGUUAUGUGUCGCCUAGAAGUAAUGUAGCUUUCACAAAGUGAAGCAAGGACUUGGAAAAUGCGUUAACUAUUUGAACCGAGCAAGGACUUAGUAGUGCAGUAGUGCUAGAAUAGAAUAAUAUGGAGAAGAUAUUUGGAUCUGUUGCUAGCAUCUCAUGAAAAAAUAUGGCAAAAUAUUUACUGAAUCUGAAUAACAUGUAAGUAGUACAGUAGCAUCACUGAAAAUAAUAUCUUGUUAGUAGUAGUGCAGUAGCAACCUUGCCUAAUAUCCUGUAAGUAGAUUUUCAAACAUCCUGACUUAGGACCUGAAUAUAUUUGAAAAUGUUUUUGUGGAUGUUGGCUAGAAUGCCCCACAAAGAUUAACUGAAGAAUUUGGAUCGGUUGCAAGAAUCUCAUGAAAAGAUAUUGCAAAUUAAUUACUGAAUCUGAAUAAUAGGUAAGUAGUGCAGUAGUAGUGCAGUAGCAUCACUGGAAAUAAUAUCUUGUAAGCAGUAGUGCAGUAGCAACCUUGCCUAAUAUCCUGUAAGUACAAAACAUAAUUGUUUCUCAAGUCCUCACACUGAAUAGCAUGUUCUGUACCUUCCAGUAUAUCUCUGCUGGCUCUUGGGUGAUGACUGACGAACAGUUCAGGUAUUACCACAUUUUUGUUGUAGUUACAUAUAUAUAUAAUUUAGAGUUGACAAACAAUGUACUGAUGCUAUAUUUUUUUUCUCUUCUUGGUCUCAUGCCACAUUUCCUGUACAGUAUAUGGCAAUAGGUGCCUAGCAGCCACAGGAGAUUUUUCAAGCAGUCAGAACGAUCUCACUAUUUUCAUGUAAUAGGUCCCUAGCAGCCACAGGUGAUUUUUCAAGGAGUUAUGUAUACAGUCACACCUCUCUAUUAUGUAUUUGGUGAUAUCAUAACUCAUUAUUCUCCAAAUUGUAUCCUAACUGAUGCACCUAAUGAGAUUACCCGUACACAGGUCGAGGCCCUCAACUCGACGCUCUAGUCAGUCAUACGAAUAGACGUCGAUAACCGCAGCCUCGAAGAUGGAAAAGGCGUCGGGCGAAUCAAUCAGGACUCGAGCACCAGCUACCGUCGAAUACGGAAACAGGCUCGAGCGAACCAGGAGGCGUUGAGCGCAAGGACGCCGCCCGCCGCCUGACGCGCGCACAGGAACCAGGGCAUUUAAUGCGCCUGUCGCGUUCUCACCUAACACGCCAGUCACGGGAAGCGUGAUAGGAAACAGACAUCCGUCCUGUCGUUCUUUUUGCAGCCUUCCCCACCAAACAACCCAGAGCGUGUCAGGGCGCGGGAAGCAGGGAUGGAACGUCUAAUCAGGACCCACUCGAGACAUCCAAGGUCAACGCUCUGGAUACCAGGGCGUUACAAGGCAUCCGACCCUCGACCAGACAUGUUUCCUUCUUGGGGAAGGAUUGGGCGUCGACUGACAACUCUGCGACCACUCCGACGUAUCCGCCGCUAUACCGUACAGGUGUGCAACCGGUGAACCAGUCCAAGACGGCGCGCAGAACAGGAUACCGGGGCACGCGUAAUCAUCAUCAAACUACCAGGACGGGACGGCUCGAGACCACGUCGGUACGGAGGCCUCGAGUAGGUCCGCGCGCCAUGCCUCUAUCGACCCCUACUCUGACGCCUAUACUUGUACUCUGGGCUUCUCCUUGGAACUAUAAACGGGGGUCCAGGCUCAGUUGCACAAAAAACUCUCUGCCCCUUUUUUCUUUUUUUUUUUUUUUUUUUUUUUUUUUUUUUUUCUUUUNNNNNNNNNNNNNNNNNNNNNNNNNNNNNNNNNNNNNNNNNNNNNNNNNNNNNNNNNNNNNNNNNNNNNNNNNNNNNNNNNNNNNNNNNNNNNNNNNNNNACGCUUGUAUUCACCCUUGUACAAGCACUUAGGUGCAAAAUAAUACAAACUCCCUCCCCCUGCUGGACGUAGGGCUUUCUCUUGUCCGAACCAGGAUAAAUCCUUGUGUCUUUUUGCAUCACCAUCUGGGAAAGGAAAGCACGCAUACAAAUUCACUUGUUGGUGUGACCCCCGUGGGGAAAACACCGACAACUACAUUCCUGAAUCCCAACCUCUACUCAAAUGCAUCUUUUUGAUGUUGAAAGUUGUCUGUUAACAUUUAAAAUAUUCAAAGGUGUAUCUGAGGUCAUAGUACAAGGAGUAGUAUGUUCGAGCCUACCCGAAUUGCAUUGUUUUGCUUGUUGGAAAACACAUCCCAGAGCAGGAAAAAGCAGGGGUGGAGCUAGACCACCUUGUUGGGGUCAGCCGAUCCCGAUGGAAUUUACGCUAGGCCACUUUGUAAUUUUAAAGACUCUAUUGAUUCUUUCGGCUAGCUUUGCCCCCAAAAAAGGGGUGUCUGCUCCAAGCCUCUAUGACUCAUCAAAUUCUGUCAAAAUAUUUGCACAACUCUAAACUAUUUUAUUGAUUUCUAGGUGAUUUUGGUUGUGGGUGAUGACACCAAACAUAUCUCUAAAGGAAUCUUGUAUGACAAAGUAAGACAAAGAACUCGGCAAGGGCAACGAUUGCAAUCAAGGUCGAAGUUCAUAGACCUGCUGCAGAGCAGCAGUCUGAACUCUCCAAAACCAAACCACAAUGCGUGAUGAUGGAUACUAGCUGCGGCAGUUGGUUGAUCAGGAAGGAUUUGACAUAGGGAGUUUAUUAUAUGUGAUUUAUAUCGACUUAAAAUUUGACAUGCCUUUUUGCCUUUUUUUUGUUUAUACUGCCGUAUCCACUGAAAUGUAUGUUCUAUUCUACUUUUUCUUAUUCAAAUUUUACUGCACUAGGUUGUGCAGCAAUAUGUUGUGCCUCGAUGACAAUGGAUGAUCUUUGUACUUUUUUAUUUUUUAUCAUGUUUAUGACUUUUGUACCUGGCGGAGUGCCGCAAGAGCCUAGAAUUGAAGUGUAUGCUCACUGUCAGGGAACCCACUUACCAAUGAAAUCAGGUGAAGUGCUGCAAUUGCACAAAAAUAGCGCUCACAGGUCAAUACAAGUAAAAUUAAAAUUAUCAUAGCAUAAGUUUGUUCCCAUUGCAACACACGGGCAUGAUCCUAGUAUAUAUACAUAUAUAUAUAUAUAUGGUUUCAUAGUUAUAUAUAAACGCAGCAGAUAUGUAUAUAUGGUUUGAUAUAGUUAUAUAAAAUCAUAUUUUCUCUACUAUAUAAAUAUAUAAACACAGCAGCCAUAUAUCCAUGUCGGUUUGGAGUCUAUACGUGGGGGCCGGAUCGAUGGUGGACGACGCGCUGGAGGUGUAGAUGACCGCAGCAGCGGUGGUGGACGGCCGCGCGGCCGCGGUAGUCGACGGCGACGCUGGAGACGGUGGCGCGGCGGUGCUUGACGGACGGCGUGCGGGCACAGACGAAUGGCGGCGGCGAAGACGAAGGGCUCUGCUCGACGAAGACGAAGGAACUGUUCAGAUCCAGGACGUCUGUGCGUUUAUAUAGGGGCGGACCCUUUAGCACCGGUCCGUGGCUAGAACCGGUGCUAAAGGGUCUUUAACACUGGCUGGCAACAUGAGCCGGUGUUAAAGGGUGACCCUUUAGCACCGGCUCGUGUUACCAGCCGGUGCUAAAGGGACCCUUUAGCACCGGUGCCAGCCACGGACCGGUGCUAAAAGGUCCUGCACGCGCUAGGGCAGCUCCUGAAAUUUUCAGGGCCCUUUAGCACCGGUUCACACUAUGGGCCGGUUCUAAAGGCCCUGUUUUUUAGUUUAGGGUUUUUAAAGUGUCUAUAUAUACAUUUUAUAUUAUAAAUUGUAUAGUAAAUUAAAUAUUUUGCAUAAUAUUUUUUAAACAGUCAUAUAUAUUGUAAUUUUUUUAAUGUACACAUAAAAAUUUUUAACCUUAAAUAUCUUGCUGUAUUUUUAUAAUUUGCAAUAAUUUUGUAAGAAAUAUUUAGUAUUUUGUUAAUACAAAAAUAUAUUAUUCCAAUAAAUUUACAAAAACUAUAUCCAAUCAACUGGAAAUCUAUUUUCACAUCAUAUUGACGUUAAAAUUUUUAUUUUUGUUAUUUAUUACUCGGAAUGCUAGUAGGGUAUAGUUUUCAUCAAAUAAAAAAUCUAUUUAUCAUAUAAAAAUAUAUAAAAAGUUGUGUAUAUAAAAAGUUUAGAUCUUGAUUGUAACACCCUAGGUGUGAAGCAUGCACUUAGCCUUGUCAAAGCAAUGCAUAAGCAUCCUCAUCAAGCAUAAGCAUCAUGAGCAUGUCAUUCUUCUCAAGUAUGAUUUUAUGUGCUUUAUUUCAUGAGUUUUAAAUAUGCUAAAAAUAUGAUACUUGCUUCCAAAAUUGUGAAAUAUCCAAACUAGGUUGAUUUAUGUGUAAGAAGAAUUAAGAAUAUUUUUGUGCAAUUUUUGGAGCUAUAGAAAUUGAGAAAUGGAAUUUAUACAAAAUUUCCAAAUUGGAUUUAUUUAAAAACCUAGAACUAAGUUUUAAUUUGUAGUUCAAAUUCUAUUGGGAAUUUGGUCUUGCUUAUUAAAGCAAAGUUGUAGAGUUUUUAUUUUGGGACAACUUUGUUUUUGGGAGCAAGAGGUGAAAAUGAUUUUUAAAUAUCCCAAAUGAAUUUAGAAAAGAAUUUGAGAAAAGAAUUUCAAAAAAAAAGGAAAGGGGCAGGCGCUGCUGGGCCAACCCCGCUUCCCUUUCGGCCCAGCGAGCGGCCCGGCCUGCCUCCCCCUUCUUCUCUCUCCCGCGCGCGGACGCGCCUCGCUCCACCCGGCGCCGGCCACGUGGCAGCCGUACGCCGGCGUUGGACGCGCCGCGGCCGGCCUCCAACCCCCCCUGGUCGCGACGCCGGCUCGGGCUCCCAGACCGCCUCCCUCCACUCUGUCGCCUGUCUCCCUCUCUCCCUUCCUCCUCCGCUCGCACCGCGCAGCAGCAGCAGCUCCUCCGCGCGCCAUUGCCGGAGAAAGCUCCGCCGCUCACCGCCGGUCGCACCAGAGCCCCAACCUCGACGCCAAGAGCACCAGCGCACUCGCCGUCGCUAGGGUAAGCUCGUGCGAACGUUCUACCGAGGUGAGAGUCCGUCGAGCGCCAUGAAUCGCUCGCCGGAGUUACCCCGAGCUCGCUGGAGUACUCCGCCGCGACGGAUCUAGCGUUUCUCUGCCUCCUUUCGCUCGUUCUUUGUCGCGCUAGGUCGGUAGGGUGUUGAGGAAGCUCGGAGAGCCGUUUGCGCACGCUCUACCGCGCCGGAGCGGCCUGGCCACGGCGAGCAGCGCCGCCGUGCCGCCAUGCAUGCUCGUCGGAGGUGUUCCGGUCACCCUCCGGCCAAUCCAAGGGUACCGUUGGGUGCGCCUUGUUGCGGGGAGCACGUUGGUGCUCACCCCGUGGCCGGAGACCUCACCGCCGGCGAGAUCUGCUCAUCGGAGGUGAGCUCUCUCUCAGUCUCGCUGACCGGUGGGGUCGGGGACCCACUGUCAGUCGCAGGGGUACCCCGGUGGGUGUAGAUCUGGGUGUGCGUAGCCUUUUUCGUCGGUUUUCUUAAAAUAGUGUUUUCUAGAAAUUGAUUUAAAGUUUGUAAAAUCUAUAUCUUGAGUUCUACAGCUCCAAAUUGAAUGAAAUAAAUUUUGAUGUGUUCCUUAUUUCCAGAUCUAUAGCCUAGUAUGUUUGCAUGUCAUGUUUGAGUAACUUUUCUGUGUGAAUAUAAUUAAUCUAUGUUUUGCUAAACUUAGAAAAUGCAUAAGUAAAUAAAAUAUGGCUCAGAAAAAUGUGAAACUUGAUUUGUUGGCUUUGCAUGUAUGUUUACUCACUGGGAAAAUAUUGCUACAUAUUAUUUGGUGUAUAAAUGAAUUUAUGGUAAUUUAAAUGCUUGCAUGGCAGUGAUUUAUGAUUUUUAAUAAUUAAUUGGCUCAUGCAAUAAAUCUGGAAAAUUUUGUGGGUGUUUCGUAUGAUAUUAUACGAAUUGUAAAAAUAUGAAAUCUGUUGUUUGACACUUGUAUCCCAGUAGAGUGAUUAUACUUGCCUUAUUAAUUAAUCUUGUGAUUUUUGUGGCUCAAAAUAAGUAUCCAAAAAUCAUGAAAAAUUUACAGUAGACUUUAUACUUAGCUGGUAGUCUCCUGUAAUUUUUGUGGAAUUUAUUGAUAAACAGAAUUGCAUGUAAUCUUUAUGGGCCUAUAAAUGAAUAAAGAAAAUUUUGAAUGGUUGUAUAUAUAGGUUGAAUGGAAUAAGUUGGGUUUGAUGUAUCUUUGAAGCAUCAUGUGGGUUGCUGGUUGCAUUUAAAAAAAAUAAUUGUAGAAGAGCAUGCAGUAGAUGUUUGAUUCAAUUGUUUAUUCUUGGAUAAUGUUGACUACCUUGUAAUAAGUAUGACCAAGUGCAUCACCUAUGCAUCAUGUCAUGACUCCUUUGGUACUUUCUCAUACAAGCAUCCACUCGGGCAUCUCGCAUUCCACUCAUGAGCACCCAUGCAUCAUACAGGCUCGCAGGAGAACGAAGUGGGACCCGAGGAGACAGAGGAGAUUCAGGAGCAGGAACCUCCGGAAGCACAGGAACCCGGAGAGGAACUGCAGGAGUGUCCGGAUCACCGACCCAGCACGUUUGAGAAAGGCAAGCCUCGGAGCAUCCUAAGUCUCCCUAUUCUCGCUAACUUAUACAAAGCACUAUACUUGUUCUACUAUAUUGCAUUUAAGUGAUAGGAAUUGCUUGAUACCGUUGAUGCAUAUGUACUCCUUGUUAUCCCUACUUGUUCACCUACCUUGUCCUAUGUAGAUAGGCACGAAGUCUAUGCUUAGCUUGCUUAGUCCGGUAGAAGUCGGGUGAUUUCAUGUCACCUGCGAGAUAUAGGCGGAUACCUGCUUGUUUGAGCGUUGGUUGCUCGGGGAAAAGAAUAACCAAGUGUGGAAUGUAAUUGGAGACCGAGCAGGGUCUUAUGGUGGGUUGACCAUAGUGCCCCUGCCUGUGUCGAUUAAGGACCGAUCGUUGAUGGCCCUCUUGUCAUGUUGAACGCAUGCCCCACAUUUAGCUGGAAGGAUAAGUCGUUCCGACCGCGAAGCCUGAGCACUAUCCGGGCCGGGAAUCGGCCCGAUGUACGCGUUGUAUUGGUGAUGGUUGAGGAGAACGACGAGGGCGCGGCGCGCAACCUUGGUAUACCUUGGAUACCUCGGUCGCCGGAACGGUCCUCGGGUACGGGCGGUGCUUGUCGAACCCGCGAAUUGGUCCUGGAUAGUGCAAUACGGUGAUCUGUAGCUCACUUGAUCAGUGAGUGUGGUUUGUGUGGGGAAUGAACUCGCCAGCUGGUUAGAAAUCGAUUCGAAUCGCCAUCGCUCCUGGAUAGUGAGCACUUGACAUGAGCCCUGUCCUCGUAGUAAGAACUAUGGAACACUUGGGUUAUAUUGAUGAAUAGUUUUCAAGGAAUGCUGUGAUGAGGUACUAUCAUAGCCUUAUACUUGCUUGUAAUAGUACAGGUGCAAACCUAGAUAAUAGGUAAAGCUACUUCCAACCUGAGCAAAAUUAAAAGAAGAAAAGUUUUAUGUAGGAUAGGAUAGGAAAAUCAUGCAGUUUUGCGAAUUGGUUGUCAGCUACCCCACUAUAUAGCCUUCAUGAUCCUUGAUGAGUCUUUAUUUUAAGUUUAUGACGGGUAAGUCUAGCUGAGUACCUUCUCGUACUCAGGGUUCUAUUCCCAUGUUGUUUUGCAGAUGGUCAAAUGUACUAUGGUUAUUGCAUCCUCUGUCUGUACCCCGCCAUGGGUGAUGACUAGACCAAGGGCGAUGGUCACUCCGUCUCUUCUUUGCUUUUGUGGGAAUGACUGCACUAUGGCACUGUAUCAGACUAAGUGUGUGUGUUGUAUUUUCGAACUAUGAAGCUUCCGCUACUUGAAGAACUUGGUUUCUAAUAACCUAAGCACUCCGAUGUAUUUAUGAAUGUUGUAAUCUGGAUGUAUUUGUGGAUGGCGACCGCUAAACUUAUUACGAUCUUGUCUGUUAUGCGAUGUGUGGUUUGAAAUCCUUCGAGAUUUCACGGACUACCGGGAUUAUAUGGGCUUAAGUCUGUUGGUUUGACUAUGCAAAUGGUCACUAUUAGGCUUAAUCUCUUAUAAUUUGGUCGGUUCUGUUACAUUGAUGAUAUAUAACAACUUGGUAUUCAAAAGUUUUUCAUUUUAAGUAAUUUAGUUUGUCAUUUGACCAAGUUUGACCAAAACUCGUCUUGGAUUUUAAAGAAAUGUGCUUAGGAUUGGCUCAAAAAUAUCCAAAUAGAAAAAUGGACAAUAUAUAAAAUGUAGAUCUUGAUGAUCUCUAACAACUUUAUAUUCAAAAUUAUUUCAUUUGAAGUCAUCAAAUGGGCCAUUUGUUCAUGUUUAACCAAAGUCAAAGCAUUGGUUUUUACAAAAACACCCUUUGACCGAACCCUAGAUGGUCCCAAAUGGAAAAGUCAUUAAUACAAAGUUUGUUACACUCAUCAAGUUCUACAUUUUAUCUAAUGGUCAACUUUCCAUUUGGAAAAGUUUGAACCACUGAAUUUUGAAUUUUCAGAGAAUUCAUAGCCACGCAGCGGUUUCGGAACCCUAGAUGGUCUCGAAUGGAAAAGUCAUGAAUACCAAUAUUGUUCCACUCAUCAAAAUCUACAUUUAAUAUAUAGACCAUUUUUGCAUUUGAGAAAGUUUUGGGAAGGUGUAGUUGAAAAUCCACAAUUGACACAUAUAGUUUCAUAUAGUUUGUGUGAGAUUCAAGAAUUGGUGGGUAUUGUUAACUUAAACUUUCUCAAAUAGAAAAGUUGUGUAUAUAAAAAGUUUAGAUCUUGAUGAUAUCUAACAACUUAGUGUUCAAAAUUUUUUCAUUUUAAGUAAUUUAGUUUGUCAUUUGACCAAGUUUGACCAAAACCCGUCUUGGAUUUUAUAGAAAUGUGAUUAGGGUUGGAUGAAAAUUAUCCAAAUGUAAAAAUGGACAAUAUAUAAAAUGUAGAUCUUAAUGAUCUCUAACAACUUUGUAUUCAAAAUUUUUUCAUUUGAAGUCAUCAAAUGGGCCAUUUGAUCAAGUUUGACCAAAGUCAAAGCAUUAGUUUUUACAAAAACACCCUUUGACCGAACCCUAGAUGGUCCCAAAUGGAAAAGUGAUUAGUACAAAGUUUGUUACACUCAUCAAGUUUCUAUAUUUUGUCUAAUGGUCAACUUUCCAUUUGGAAAAGUUUGAACCACUGAAUUUUGAAUUUUCAGAGAAUUCAUAGCCACGCAGCGGUUUCGGAACCCUAGAUUGUCUCGAAUGGAAAAGUCAUGAAUACAAAGUUUGAUACACUCAUCAAAAUCUACAUUUCAUAUAUAGACCAUUUUUGCAUUUGAGAAAGUUUUGGGAAGGUGUAGUUGAAAAUCCACAAUUGACACAUAUAGUUUCAUAUAGUUUGUGUGAGAUUCAAGAAUUGGUGGGUAUUGUUAACUUAAACUUUCUCAAAUGGAAAAGUUGUGUAUAUAAAAAGUUUAGAUCUUGAUGAUAUAUAACAACUUGGUGUUCAAAAUUUUUUCAUUUUAAGUAAUUUAGUUUGUCAUUUGACCAAGUUUGACCAAAACCCGUCUUGGAUUUUAUAGAAAUGUGAUUAGGAUUGGCUCAAAAUUAUCCAAAUGUAAAAAUGGACAACAUAUAAAAUGUAGAUCUUGAUGAUCUCUAACAACUUUGUAUUAAUUUUUUUUCAUUUGAAGUCAUCAAAUGGGCCAUUUGAUCAAGUUUGACCAAAGUCAAAGCAUUGGUUUUUACAAAAACACCCUUUGAACGAACCAUAGAUGGUCCCAAAUGGAAGGGUCAUGAAUACAAAGUUUAUUACACUCAUCAAGUUCUACAUUUUGUCUAAUGGUCAACUUUCCAUUUGGAAAAGUUUGAACCACUGAAUUUUGAAUUUUCAGAGCAUUCAUAGCCACGUAGCGGUUUUGGAACCCUAGAUUGUCUCGAAUGGAAAAGUCAUGAAUACCAAUAUUGUUCCACUCAUCAAAAUCUACAUUUCAUAUAUAGACCAUUUUUGCAUUUGAGAAAGUUUUGGGAAGGUGUAGUUGAAAAUCCACAAUUGACACAUAUAGUUUCAUAUAGUUUGUGUGAGAUUCAAGAAUUGGUGGGUAUUGUUAACUUAAACUUUCUCAAAUGGAAAAGUUGUGUAUAUAAAAAGUUUAGAUCUUGAUGAUAUAUAACAACUUGGUGUUCAAAUUUUUUUCAUUUUAAGUAAUUUAGUUUGUCAUUUGACCAAGUUUGACCAAAACCUGUCUUGGAUUUUAUAGAAAUGUGAUUAGGAUUGGCUCAAAAUUAUCCAAAUGUAAAAAUGGACAAUAUAUAAAAUGUAGAUCUUGAUGAUCUCUAACAACUUUGUAUUCAAAAUUUUUUCAUUCGAAGUCAUCAAAUGGGCCAUUUGAUCAAGUUUGACCAAAGUCAAAGCAUUGGUUUUUACAAAAACACCCUUUGACCGAACCCUAGAUGGUCCCAAAUGGAAAAGUCAUGAAUACAAAGUUUGUUACACUCAUCAAGUUCUACAUUUUGUCUAAUUGUCAACUUUCCAUUUGGAAUAGUUUGAACCACUAAAUUUUGAAUUUUCAGAGAAUUCAUAGCCAUGCAGCGGUUUCAGAACCCUAGAUGGUCUCGAAUGGAAAAGUCAUGAAUACAAAGUUUGAUACACUCAUCAAAAUUCACAAUUCUCAAAUAUAGUUUCAUACAAUUCUCAGAAUUCGUACAUUUCUCAAAAUUCAUACAUUUUACAACACAUAAUAUUAAACAUGACUUUAUGUUAAGCCGACACAACAGUGAACUUCUUCUUGACGUAUGACCCUUGGUUAUGAUCCUGCCGUAACCAUGGAGUAUCCUCAUUGUUUAACAGAAUGCUUGGGUCUUUGUUGACUAUGAAGGGCAGAAUUUGAUCAUCCCUUUCGUAAUCGCCUGACAUGUCUGACUUGUCCUCAAUUCCGACAAUGUUUCUUUUCCCAGAAAGGACAAUGUGGCGCUUUGGCUCAUUGAUGAUUGAGUGGUCAUCAUUUUUUCCUCUUUUUGGUUUCGUAGACAUAUCUUUGAGAUAGAACACCUGACUCAUGUCUACAGCAAGGACGAAUGGUUCGUCUUUGAACCCACUAUUGUUAAGGUCCACGGUUGUCAUCCCAUACUCCUUGUCAACUUUUACCCCACCUCCGGUCAUCUUCACCCAUUGACACCGGAACAAAGGAACUUUAAAAUUAGCUACAUAGACUAGUUCCCAUAUGACUUCUAUGCAUCCAUAAUAUGUUUGUCUGUUCCCAUUUGGAUCCGUGGCAUCCACGCGUACACCACUAUUUUGGUUGGUGCUCCUUUUAUCUUGGCCAACUGUGUAAAAUGUGUUACCAUUUAUCUCGUAUCCUUUGUACGUGAGGACAUGCCAUGAUGGUUGCCUGGCCAACAAAUAAAGCUGCUCAUCAAUGUUUUCAUCACCUUGACAUUUUUUGCGCAACCAAUCACCAAAAGUUUCCAUGUGCUGACGCAUUAUCCAAGCUUCAUUCUUCCCGGGCCACUGGGACCGUAGGAAAUCUUUGUGUACCUCAACAUAUGGUUCCACCAAUGAGGAGUUCUGGAGAACUGUGUAGUGCUUUAUUGAAGUAAUCGUCUCCCGUACCAAUAUAUGUUUUCUUCCCAAGUGUUCCCUUUCCGCUGAGUCUGCCCUCAUGUCGAGAUUCAGGAAUGCCAAUUGUGUCAAGGUCUAGAAUAAAGUCAACACAGAACUCUAUGACCUCCUCUGUUCCGUAGCCCUUGGCAAUGCUUCAUUCUGGCCGGGAACGACUAUGGACAUAUUUCUUUAGGACACCCAUGAAUCUCUUGAAGGGGAACAUGUUGUGUAGGAACACAGGACCGAGAAUACAAAUCUCUUUGAUGAGAUGAACUAGGAGGUGUGUCAUGAUAUCGAAGAAGGAUGGAGGGAACACCAACUCAAAGCUGACGAGACAUUGAAUGACAUCAUUUUGCAGAGUAGCUAGUUGCUCUGGAUUGAUUGCCUUCUAAGAAAUUGCAUUGAGGAAUGCACAUAGCUUUACGGUGGCUAGACGUACGUGUGGAGGUAAAAUUCCUCUUAAAAUCACCGGCAGCAAUUGCGUCAUUAGAACGUGACAGUCAUGGGACUUCAAGUUCAGGAAUUUCUUCUCUGGCACAUUAAUUAUUCCCUUGAUAUUAGAGGAGAAUCCAGAUGGGACCUUGAUGCUGCUAAGACAUUCAAACAUGCUUUCCUUCUCUUCUUUGCUCAGAGUGUAGCUAGCAGGGCUUAAGUAAUGACGUCCAUCAUCUGUCUUUUCUGGAUGCAGGUUGUCUCGUUCUUUCAUGCGCUGCAAGUCUUGUCGUGCUUCAAGUGAAUCCUUAGACUUCCCGUAGACACCCAUGAAUCCAAGCAAGUUCACACAAAGAUUCUUUGUCAGAUGCAUCACGUCGAUCGCGUUGCGGACCUCUAGGACAUUCCAGUAAGGUAGCUCCCAAAAUAUGGAUUUCUUCUUCCACAUGGGUACGUGUCCCUUAGCAUCCUUGGGAAUAGGUUCGCUGCCUCGUCCCUUUCCAAAUACCACUUUUAUAUCCUUGACCAUUUCGAGUACAUCAUCCUCGGUUCGAUUGAGAGGUUUGGUCCGGUGGUCUGCCUUGCCUUUAAAAUGCUUGUCUUUCUUUCGUACUGGGUGGUUCACAGGAAGAAACCGACAGUGGCCAAGGUACACGACCUUUCGACAUUUUUUCAAAAAUACACAGUCAAGGUCUUCAUAACAAUGUGUGCAUGCAUUAUAUCCCUUGUUUGACUGGCCGGAAAGAUUACUCAGAGCUGGCCAAUCAUUGAUUGUUACAAACAGCAAUGCUCGCAGAUCAAAGUGCUCUUGUUUGUACUCAUCCCACACGUGAACUCCUGGUUUGCUCCAUAAAAGUUGAAGUUCCUCAACUAAUGGCCUUAGGUGACAUCUAUGUCAUUGCCAGGUUGCUUCGGUCCUUGGAUAAGCACCGGCAUCAUAAUAAACUUCCGCUUCAUGGAUAGCCAUGGAGGAAGGUUGUAGAUACAUAGAGUAACUGGCCAAGUGCUGUGACUACUGCUCUGCUCACCGAAAGGAUUCAUACCAUCUGUACUUAAGGCAAACCGCAAGUUUCUAGCAUCAUCUGCAAAAUCUGGGAAUUCUCUGUCUAUCGCUCUCCACUGGGAUCCAUCGGCAGGGUGUCUCAGCAUAUUGUCUAUCUUACGGUCUUCUUUAUGCCACCGCAACAACUUUGCAUUGUCCUUAUUUCUGAAUAGAUAUUUUAAUCGUGGUAUUAUAGGAGCAUACCACAUAACCUUGGCAGGAAUUUUCUUCCUAUGACGUUCAUCACCCUCAACAUCGCCAGGAUCAUCUCGCCUAAUCUUAUACCGUGAUGCCUUACAUACUGGACAUGCAUCCAAAUUCUCGUAUUCCUCCCCACGGUAGAGGAUGCAGUCAUUAGGACAUGCGUGUAUCUUCUGGAUUUCUAAUCCCAAAGGGCAGACGACCUGUUUUGCUUCAUACGUAGUGGUGGGUAAUUCAUUGCCUUUCGAAAGCAUCUUUUUUAUGAUCUUCAAUAACUGCCCAAAUGCCUUGUCACAUGUACCAUUCUUUGCCUUCCAUUGCAGCAAUUCCAGUGUGGUACCUAGCUUUUUUUGCCCCUCUUCAGCGGUGGGAUAUAGCGAUUUCCUGUGGUCCUCUAGCAUGAGCUCGAACUUGACUUUCUCUUUAUUACUUUGACAUUCUCUUUGUGCAUCACGGAUGGCAUCACCAAAAGCAUCAUCGCCCCGAUCAUCUUCUGCCGCUACCUCUUCUUCAUUAUCUCCCCCCAUUGCCACAUCAUUGAAGCCACCGUACUGAGCAAUAAUAUUGGCAUGGUCCAAUUCUCUUCUUCUUCUUCACCUUCAUCCAUUAUAAUCCCGCUUUCUCCAUGUUUGGUCCAACAAAUAUAGUUUGGUACGAAACUAGACUUUAAUAAGUGCGAAUGAAGAGUUCUUGAGUUAGAAUAUUCUGUCAAAUUCUUGCACACGGCACAUGGACAGCACAUGAAACCGUCCCUCUUAUUUGUCUCGGCCACACUUAAGAAAUAGUGCAUGCCAUUAAUGAACUCUUCGGAGCACCGAUCGGCAUUAUACAUCCAAUUACGUGUUACCAUCUGCAUUAAAUAUAACAUAUAUAUUAUGAAAACCAUGCACACAUAUAAUUUCUCAUCUUAUUGUACAACAUGCCUAAGAUACAUAGUUGAUUAAUUCAUGAAAGCUUGGCUACAACAAAUACAAUCGCAACUAGCACUAAAAAAACCAAAACUAAAAUGCACUUAAGCAACAUAAUUAGUUUGCGUCCGAUCCCAACUAUAAUAGAUAGAUCAUUCGCUUGAUCAACAUCAUUGAACUCCUUUCGUCGGCUCACUGCCUCACCACCUUCAGCCUCAACCACCUGUGCAAAAGAUUUCUUAAUGUGUUCAAUGUAUUCUUCCUCCCAGUACCAACUUGUACAUCCGCCGGUACCGUCCCACUGAAAUUAAAAGAGAUAAUCAAAAGUUUAAUUAAUAUCAUUUAAAAAAAUAUGCACAUAUAUAAGCAAAUGUCUGGAAAUAACUCACAUUACGAUCCGGACACUUGUAGAAUAUAUGACCCUUGUUUACUCCCUCUUUCGACACUUUGUACUCCAUCACAAUCUUCUGGCCACACUUGCCACAAGUAAUGAGAGGGAGUUCCGGCCGGUAUCACUUUUGAACCCGUUGAGAGACCGAAGACCCGGUCAUGGUUGCCAUCUACUAUCCAUACUCAAUUUUUAAACAAUUAUAAAUCCCACAUCUACUAGUAAACAUGUAUGAUUAAAGAAGAACCUAAUAAUAUCCUUUAUUUGUCUAGUUACUUCAACAAAUCUUCUAAAUUAUACAAUGGACAUUGUGUAGUAAUAAAAAUAAAUCAAUUGAUAUUAACAAACCAAUUAAUUUGAAUUAUCCUACUUUCUAAGAUAAUAAAAAGAUACUAUAAUUCAUUCUUGCAAACUACAUUAAUACUAGGUCAACCAUGAAAUAAGCAAGAACAUGUGGAUUUGAGCUAAAAAUAAAGGGAACAUCACAAGCCAAAAACAACAUGAAAAAGACAAGAAAGACAAAAGUUAGUCACCUCCAAACACGAAGAAACGAUGACGGAGUCGAAGAAGAUCAACGAUGGGCGUCGGAGAUGAAGAACAAGGAAGAACAAGCUCCAAGAACAACAAUGGUGAAUGGUGCUCUCGAUUUCAAAUGGGCAGAGAGGAGGAGGGAUCUGGCCUAUAAACCGGACCUUUAGCACCGGUUCAGGGCAAAAACCGGUGCUAAAGGUUCACCCUUUAGCACCGGUUUGUGUUACAAAUCGGUGCUAAAGGCUUUGCCUCGGCCCGUGGCACUGGCCGGUGCUAAAGGGGACCCUUUAGCACCGGUUUGUAACACGAACCGGUGCUAAAGGGUCCCUGCCCCGACAGCACCUGUCAGUAGCCGUUGGGCAGGACCCUUUAGCACCGGUUCAUGUUACGAACCGGUGUUAAAGGGGCCUUUAAGCCCGGGCCGCAAAAAGGCCGAGGUUUUUGGCCAUUUUGGGCAUCGACCAAUGCCUCAUUCUGUAGUAGUAGUGUGAGAUUCAAGUGCAUUGCAUUGAGAGUUGCAUCUAGUGGCACUUGAUCUUUGAGUUUGUUGUGGAUUUCUUGUUACUCUUGGGUGUUUCUCGACGCCCUAGACGGCUUGGAGCAGUAGUGGUGUUGAGCUCAUGAUUGGAGAUUGUUUUGAGCUUCGCCAAGUGAUCUGUGAGGGGUUUUUGAGCCUUCCCCAUGAGAGAUCGCAAUUGGCUACUCUAGUGGAUUGCUUGUGGCUUGGAGGAUCCCCAUCUUGUGAGUGGAUGUGUGGCACCCAUUGAGGGUUUGGCUUUGAAUUGCCAAUUAGCUCGUGAUCCAUCAAGUGGGUGUAUCGCCACAACGAGGACUAGCUUGCCGGGAAGCAAGUGAACCUCGAUAAAAAAUCUUGUGUCAUCUAUUGCUGAGGAUUCUAUUGUAAUUGUGAUUGAUUGAUUGGUUAUAUAUCUACUCUAAAAUGUUGGUAUAACAAUCACUCCCCUCUCCUUUACUUUUGUGCAUACCUUGCUAGUUGUGUAGUUUGUUUAGCUUAGCUAUCUUGUUUAGGAGUGUAGCUAGCUUCUAGUUGUGCUUUCUUGUAGUAACUUAGUGUUUAGCUUUCUUGCUAGAUUUGUGUAGGUGGCUUGCAUAGCUUAGUUGUGCUAGUGGUAGAAUAACUUCACCAUCUGUUUUACUAUUCAACUUGUCUAGUUGAAGUUUGUAGAAAAUUUAAAUAGGCUAUUCACCCUCCUCUAGCCAUUUGGACCUUUCAAGUGGUAUCAGAGCUAAGGCACCAUUUAAUUGAGGCUUAACAACCUUUGGUGAGGAAAUGGCUCUUAGUUUGCAUAUCAACAACACCAAGAAGGCACCUUACUUUGAUGGCACAAAUUAUGCAUAUUGAAAGGUCAAGAUGACCGCCCAUCUCAAGUCAAUCAAUAGAGAUGUUUGGAAGGUGACUGAAACAAAGUUCGAGGUUGCAAAUGAGAAUGCACCAACACCAGUUGAAGCGAAGAAGCUACAAUGCAAUGAUAUUGCUAUUAGUGCUCUUCAUGAAGCUCUUGAUGACAAGACCUUUGAGCAAAUCAAGAACAUUGAGAUUGCUCAUGAUGCUUGGGCAAAAUUAGAAGAAACAUUCGAGGGCACCAAAGGUACCAAGACCGCCAAAGCUUAUAUUCUCCAAGAGAAGUUCUCUAGCUUCAAGAUGCAUGAAGAUGAAAGUGUGCCGAAGAUGUUUCACCAGUUGCAAGUCAUUGUGAAUGAGCUCAAGGCACUUGGGGAAGAAGUGAAAGAUAGUCAAUUCUCUAUGAAGUUCUUGAGAAGCUUGCCCAAGAGAUUUGACACAUUGAUCACCGUGUUAGUCAAGACAACACUUAGUGAAUCAACUCCCCAACAAGUCUUUCAAGAGGUGAUGACCGAUGAUGCCUAUAGAGAAGAUGAUGAAAAGGAUGAGUUGAUCAAGAAGAAGAAGAAGGAAGGUGACAAGAAGGAUGAUGAGAAGAAGAAGAGUGUGGCAUUCAAGGCAUCCACAUCUAAGGGCAAAGCCAAGCAAGAAUGAUCAAGUGAAGGAGAAACAAGCUCUUGUGAUAGUGAUGAUGAUGAGGAGAUGGCUCUUCUUAUCAUGAGAUUUGGCAAGUUUAUAAAGAAGAAGGGCUAUCGAGAAAGAAGAAAGAAGAGCUCCUCCAAGAAGAAUGACCAUUCCAUGAGGUGCUUUAGAUGCCAUAGCAAGGAUCAUCUCAUCGCCAAGUGCCCAUAUGAUAGUGAUGAUGAAGAUGCUAUCAAGAAGGAAAGAAAGAAGCAAAAGAAGAAUCAAGAAAAGAAGGAAGGCUCAAACAAGAAGAAGGGUGAUGCUCAUGUUGCAACUUGGGAUAGUGAUGACUCCUUAAGUGAUGAUGAGAGCACCAAGAAGAAGGGGCAUGCUAGCAUUGCAAUUCAAGGAAAGAGCUCCAUCUUCGACACUCCAUCAUGCUACAUGGCUAAGGCCACUAAGGUAUCAUCCAAUGAUGAGAGUGACCAUGCUAGUGAUAGUGAAAGUGAUGAUGAUGAAACAACUAAAGAUGAACUAAUCACUAUGCUAGAAGAUUGCACUCAUCACUAUAAAGAAACUAGAAGGGAGUGCAAGGCCUUGCUUAAGGAUAAGAAAACUCUUAUGCAAGAACUUGAUGAGCUUAGCGAGUCUUAUGAGAGUGUAAAGGAAGACCAUAAGAAGCUUUAAAAGGCUCACACUAAGCUUAAAGAAGCUCAUUCCUCUCUAGUUGACAAAUGUGAAUCCAUGCCAACUAAAGUUGAAAAAGCUAAAACUUGCAACAUAGGCAUAACAUGUGAUAUCUUGUGUAAGCCUAAUGUUAUUGCUUCCACUAACCCUUCAUGUAGCACAUCUACAUCAUCCUCAUCUAGUAGUGAUGGUUUCACUGGUGACACCACACUAAAAGUUGAGAAUGAAAUUCUCAAGAAGGAGGUGAAAGAGCUCAAUCACACCUUUGCCAAGGCUUAUGGUGGUGAGGACCGCUUGCUUAUGUGCUUGGGUAGCCAAAGAGCUUCUCUAUAUAAAGAGGGAUUAGGCUAUAACCCCAAGAAAGGCAAGGCCGCCUUUGCUCCACACAAGACACAUUUUGUGAAGAACAAUGGCCAAUAUUGCAAAGCUUGCAAGCAAGUUGGUCACUUAGAGCAACAAUGCAUGAACAAGAAACCCAAAGCUAAUGUAUCCUUAAUUAAGCUUAAUUCUUCCUACAUGCUUACCAAGGAUACAAAAAGGUGUUAAUGCUAAGUUCAUUGGUGCACCAUGGAUGGGCUCAUAGAAGAAAGCCAUUUGGGUACCAAAGAGCUUAGUUGCUAACCUUGGAGGACCCAAUCAAGUUUGGGUACCUAAAAUGAAUUAAUCUUGUCUUGUAGGUCAAUUACAAAGCCAGAGGAAGGCAUUGGGUGCUUGAUAGUGGGUGCACUCAACAUAUGACCGGAGAGUCUUGUAUGUUCAAAUCAAUUGAUACUAGUCAAAAUGGUGUCUUUGAUUCAAUGACCUUCGGAAACAACAAGAAAGGCAAGGUCAAGGGGCUUGGUAAAAUUGCUAUCUCAAAUGACAUGAGCAUAUCAAAUGUGUUGCUAGUAGAAAGCCUUGAUUUCAAUCUCUUGUCAAUUGAACAACUUUGUGACCUUGGUUUCAAGUGCAUCUUUGGUAGUGAUGAUGUUGAAGUGGUUAGUGUUGAUGGAUCAAACUUGAUAUUCAGAGGAUUUAGGCAUGGUAGCUUAUACUUGGUUGAUUUCAAUGAUAGUGACAGUCAAUUGACAUCUUGCCUAAUUAGCAAAUCAAGUUUGGGUUGGUUGUGGCAUAGAAGGCUUGGUCAUGUUGGAAUGAAACAAUUGAACAAACUUUUGAGGCAUGAAUUAGUUAGAGGCUUGAAGGAUGUCACUUUUGAGAAGGAUAAACCAUGUAGUGCUUGUCAAGCCGGAAAGCAAGUUGGAAAUGCACAUCCUAAGAAAAGUGAAAUGAGCACAUCAAAGGCAUUUGAGCUAUUGCACAUGGAUUUAUUUGGGCCAACAACAUACACUAGCAUUGGUGGCAACAAGUAUGGAUUUGUGAUAGUUGAUGACUACACUAGAUACACUUGGGUGUUUUUCCUCUAUGACAAGAGUGAUGUUUGUGAUCUAUUCAAGUCUUUUGUCAAGAGGGUGCAAAAUGAGUUUGAAACCACUAUCAAGAAGAUUAGAAGUGACAAUUGUAGUGAAUUCAAGAAUACAAGAAUUGAGGAAUUAUGUGAUGAUCUUGGCAUUGGACAUCAAUUCUCUCCAACAUACACUCCUCAAUCCAGUGGUGUACUUGAAAGGAUGAAUAGAACUUUGAUUGACAUGGCUAGAUCAAUGCUUAGUGAAUACAAAGUUAGUCAUUCAUUUUGGAGUGAAGCCAUCAACACGGCUUGCUAUUGUAGCAACUGUCUCUAUUGCCAUGGGAAGCUUGGGAAGACACCAUAUGAGCUAUUGAAUGGAAGAAAACCCAACAUUGCAUACUUUAGAGUGUUUGGUUGCAAAUGCUACAUUCUCAAGAAAGGCACUAAGUUGAGCAAGUUUGAUAAGAAAUGUGAUGAAGGGUUCUUACUUGGUUAUUCCACCAUAAGCAAGGCAUAUAGAGUUUGGAACUUGGCAAGUGGCACAUUGGAAGAAGUUUAUGAUGUUGAGUUUGAUGAAACUGAAGGAUCUCAAAGUGAAGCUCAAAAUCUUGAUGAUGUGAGAGGAGAUCAAUUGGCUAAUGCAAUGAGAAACAUGGAUGUUGGUGACAUAAGGCCAAGGCAAGUUGAUGAUGAUAGUGAUAUUCACAUGAUCAAUCAAGAAGUGCAAAUUGAUAUAAAUCAAGCUAGUACUAGUGGCUCUCAUGAUGAUGGUCAAAAUCAAAAUAAAACAAGUUAAAGUAAUCAACUCCUAAUACUCCAACCUACAAGCAUAGCAAGAGAUCAUCCAUUGGAUCAAGUUAUUGGUGGAAUUCAAAGUGGUGUACAAACAAGAUCAAGGCUAGCAUCCUUUUGUGAGCACUACUCAUUUGUCUCAUUUGAGGAACCAAAGAAGAUAGAAGAUUGUUGGCAUUUCUUAGUGUCACUACUAAAGAUAGACUAUAAAUCCAUCAUUAUCAAUGGCACUAGAAAUGUUGGGUGUUGGUAUACCAUAACUAUCGUUACGUCAGUGAGAUAACCCAAGGCCUUUAACGACGCCGGCAUUAGCAGUGCAUUCUGGUAACAAUAAUUAGGAAUGCCGGAUUGGCCAUCCUAACCAUCCUUACUUACGAUAUGCAAAGCUGUAACAUAGCGCUAGAUAAAUGCACAGAGUUUACAAUCUUAAGUAACGGUACUUAGGUACACCAAUCAAUAGUUCAUGAAUAUAAAGAAUAAAACUGCAAGCGAACAGAACUAUCAUUGUAGCAUUUCAACCUGUGAGUAUUCAAGGGUUAUCAUAUUUAAUCCCAUAGGAGGGCGUAACAAAUGCAUCUAGCUUGGUUUGCAUAGGUAGACAUAGUCUAAUCAGGGGUCAUGACAGGCUCUUAAAAUAUGGAUAGUGGACACACUCAUCAGGGCAACCUCAAGGAAUAAAGAGAAAAAAAGGAAAUAAAAGAAAUAAAGAACAACUACUUGAGCCGGCAUUGAUCUUAUAUAACUAUGCAAAGAGUUGUUAGUAGAACAUCUAAUCAAUAUAACUAGAGUUAGAACUAAGUCUGAGGCUCUGGGGAGAUCCCCACAGCUGGACAUUCAGCUGAUAGGGACUUUACAGAACUCCUACCGGAAUACCUGAUCGUGGCUGAAUACCAGGGAUGACAGGGCUGUCACUACCCUGCCACCUACCCCUCUACCCGAAAGAUACCCACACAUCCGCUGAUCUCCACAUACCCGAGCACCUCGCCCGUGUAAUUGGAAACGCCUCCUAGCCUCCCGGGACCCCAACCCUUCGGAUUGACAGGCUCGGCUAAGAGUGGCCAUCACAGCCCAAUGAACCGUUACCCCAAUCUUAAUCCUUUGUCUAUUCAUACUAAUUCGAUGAACGAUGAAGAACAAGGAUGAACACAUCAAGAACAUAGCACAAGAACUAAGAACUAGUUCAUAUACUAUGAACAAGAUAUGAACACAACUAUACUCUAAUUCAAUUGCAUAAUCAUAUAAAUAAGAUAAGAACUUGCUCAUGGAGGAGAACUGAAUUGUAUUCAUACCAAGAAGCUCUAAGAUCCUCCAAGGAGACAAGCUCUCCUUGCUAGCUUUGCCUUGCUCUACUACUGAAUCUAAACUAAAGAACAAGUGUAUAAAUGUGAGGUGUAUUGCUCCAAAUGAUGGUUGUCUUGAAUGGUGUGGAGCCAUCUAUUUAUAGCCCAACAAGGACGGUUCAUGGUGAUCUAAAUUUGGUAGGAGGUGAAACCGUCCUAUGCAUGCUGCCAUACAACCGCCUGAAAAAGGUGGGACAAAGUUGCCGCCACGGGGCACCACUGGUGGGCCCCCUGACCACCGCAUUCGCAUGGUCGGAUCAUCUCUGGGCCCUCAUCCUCCUGUUGUUACGGAUGGAUCCAGUUCGGUGUUUUGGUGGGCUUUUCCAUUUAUCUUUGAUUUAUGCCUUUUCUGAAUACGCUUUCUUGAAGUCACUGGUACAGGGAAGGGCUUUAGCCCCGGGCCAUGAGGGCCUUUAGUACCGGCUACUGUUGACAUUCGUUAAGUACAAUAAGAAUAAGAAAAAUUCCGCAAGCACACAGAACAUCAUCAUAGCAUUUUACCGGGAGUAUUCUAGGUAUCGUUAUUUAUAUUUUACCACUGCGAAGCUAAGGUCAAAGAAUCUGAUAACUUACUAUCACGCAUCUAUUAAUUUAAUAAACCAACUAGACUAAAGUAGGGGUAAAUGAUAUAUGAUAGGUAAUAAUAUAAAGGUGAGAAUUCUAUGAUAAAUGCGUAGAUAGCCAUAGCGGGAGGACAACGGGAGAGAUCUGGGUUCCUGUAUACUUCUCUAUUACUUCAGUUCUAUGAUAACAAAGAAUGAAUAGAUAUAGCAAUCACAUAUUAGCACUUUGGGACAUCAGAACACCAACCACAGAAAGAGAACUGGAAGGGGGCUGGAAAGCUUUGACUACGGUCCUACAAACACCGAUCCGAACGAGGUGGAAUACGUCGACCGUUAGGGCUGUCACUACCCUAGGGCUACCACAACAAUCUGCAGGACUGGGUGUAACCUCAGGUAACCUCUAGUAUAGACACCACGUCUACACUAACGAUUACUACUCUAAUUACCAUGAAUAACUUGAGCACUCGAUGCGAACGGAGAUCCUAUGCCAAAAUAUAACAACUACACUACUCGAUAAUAAUAAAGGCAUAAAAGUAAAUAGAGAAGAUAAAUAUAUUAAAGCAUAAGUCUUACAAUAAAUAUAAAGACAUACCAAAACUCUGAAGACUUCUCCAGAACCGAAUUGCAGCUCCGCUCUCCCUAACUCCCGACUAGAACUAAUCUACUACAUUGGAAUGUCUAGCCCUAAUUCUCUAUAGAGGAAAGGUUAUCCUUCGAGGGCACCUAUCAACUCUAUAAUGAUAUGUUCUCCUCCAGGGGCCAGGGGCCUUGCUUAUAUAGUCCUCCUCCUUUGUGCGUUUUUGGUUCAGUCCUUCUUUUAUUAAUAUCUCUUGAUUCUGAACUCUAAAUAUAGAAAAUAAUGUAUGCAUUUCGAUCAGCUCGACGUGAUCUUUGUAAUGGUGUACUCCAUUCUGUGAUUGGUGCUUGUACCAGGGCGGGCGCCCUAGGAUCAAGGGCAGGCGCCCUGGUCCCAGGCCGGUCUCGGCUCCGCUUCGGUCGAGUUGCUUCUAGAGUAUUCCUGAUUAUGGAAAAUUACCGCACACAUUAAUUCUCUAUGUAAACCCGACGUGUGGGCCUUUCCUUCGUAUUUCCUGAUAACCCCCUGCAGAAAUAGACAAACACCAAAACUCGUAGAAAUCUGUCAGAUGAAAUCCUAAGUCUAGGUGUCGGUUGCAUUUGGAUCAUUUUUCAUGAUUAGUUGACGGUUAAAUGUGAGCAUUAAGGACCGUCAACAAGCUCCCAUAAGCUUAACCUUUGCUCGUCCCUGAGCAAAGAUGGACUCAAGAGUUUCUGCUGUGGUUUCAUGCCUUAAAGGUACACAUGCAUGCAAACAAGAUCUCAUCUCUGGGUUAGGGUAAACUGUUAAGGUUUAAACUUACUCAUUUUACCUUCCACCAUGGGGCUUGCAACCGUCACUUAUGUCUUGAGCAGUUAAAAGAUAGAAUGGUCUAGUCAAGCGCCAUGUCUCUUGUUCUUCGAUUAACUAUAGCUCUGGAGUUUUUACAGAUUUUCAAAUAAAACUCAGAGAUUCCUUGUAUGACUCUCUCUAGUCUCUCUUUUGUGGUAUUUCUAGAUCCUUACCGAGGCAAUGAUGGUGUAUACCUUCUCUCAAAGUAUGUGGUAUUUUUGGUAUGAGGCAUAGUGACAUUGCCUUCUCUCUCACCCUACUCCAAUAAGGUUUUGAUAUCUGGAGCUCAUAGGUGGGAGAUAAAGUAUACAUACUUACAAGACAUUUAUUGCAUAGUCAAACCAUGGAUCCAGAAGAAUAAGUCAAUAAGUCAAAUCAAGAGGUGCAUGUGUGGCGAAUGAAUGGUGAUAAUGGUGAAAAUAAUGGUGAAAGUCUAAUUCUACUUUUGCUCUUUUGAGGGGGUACAUACCUUUCUUGCACUUGAGGCUUUUGAGGGGAAUGAGACGCUCUAUAUUUUAUUUUUCUUUUCUCUCAGGUGGGUAUCUUGUACCCCUAAUUCUACUGUUGGACACUUGUCCAUUUUUACCUCUCGUCUCAUUUUUUCUUUUUUUGAGGUUUCGGGCACUUGCCCCUUUUUAUUUCCUCGUAUUCACUUUUUUUUCAGAGCACUCACCCUUCUGGAAUAAUGUAGCAAGUGGUAGUAACCAAAAUAUCUUGAGCAUUUAUUUCACGGGGAAUAACAGGGUAGGAUAAUGUUUUUGGCUCUUCUCUCCUAGAUAGGAGUAGAAUAAUUUUGGGUGAAUCUGGAUAUGGAAAUGAGUGGAUGUAUGCGGAUGCGUACUUCUGGAGUAGAAGCAGCAUGUAUGAGUGAACGUGCAAGUGAAUCUUGAUUUUAACCGCAUGACAAGCUCCUAAGGGUCUACACAGCUUGACCACACUCAAUGCUCAUAAGCAGUAAAAAGUAAAUGUAUGGUUCAUAGUCUAAUAAGCUUGUAUAUAUGGCUGUGGUAGGAUUUUAAACUCUCAUCAUACAGGAACUCAUCAUGCAACAUUUUAAAGAUUUUCAAAGAUAAAAUUCUCUAGAAUUCUAGCAUCUCUAGGAACAGAUAAACAACAGCUCAACCUUCCCAUAUCACAUCUGUUAACAACUUAGACUUUUGAUCAGGUACUCUUCUCGCAAAUUCAGGUUUAGAGUAAGCUUUAAAUUAUAACAAUUAUGCCUAAACUUGAGAGAGAGCUCAAAUUUGAAAACUAGGUACUUGGCAGAGCAACUAUUCAUCAUAUCCAUAUAAGAGUUUAUCAUUGAAGUUCAGUUUGGCAUAGACACUUAAUUUAUUUAUUUAGCAAACUAAGCAAAGUUAUUUAUAAGCACAAAAUGUUUAAUUCUGUUUUUAUGAUUAUGCAUCUUUUUAUUAUUUGAGUAAAGUAUAAAUGUGAGUAGAAACACUUAGCUGGAUAAAUGGGGGUG
Molecule: long non-coding RNA, 69833 nt
Filed under: Sorghum bicolor (sorghum)
Lineage: Eukaryota; Viridiplantae; Streptophyta; Magnoliopsida; Poales; Poaceae
Description: long non-coding RNA (SBIC_LNC008352)
Rfam family: MIR5387 microRNA precursor family (bases 60500-60593)
Source: RNAcentral